AUUAACUUUCCGGGAAAAUAUAGAUUUUCUCUACAAAAAGAAAAUGAGGGGACAAUAGUUGAAUGUGGCCAUUGAUGCCGCAGAUUGUCAUGUUGUACAUGCAUGUGUGUGUAGGAGAAAGAGAGAGAUUCUGUGCAUUUAUUUAUUUUUUUUAUAUUUUUUUGGCGGUAUUGUGGGACCUUCACAUGAUUAACGGCUAGGAUGAGAUAAUUUUUCGCGGGUUUUGUGGAUAGUGAAAAGAGGAAAAAGUUAAUUUUGAAAAGCAGUUAAAAUUGGCCUGCGAUGAAAUUUUGGGUCGGUCCACGCGGUUUUUUGACAAGGCGACGCGUAUUCACGUGCAUCUUUUUCGUGUCUGUUUCGAUAUGUUUUUCGCGCCUCAAACGGCCCCAUUCUUUCACUUCUUUUACAAUAUUUUUUUUUUUUUUUUUUUUUUUGUGGGAUGAAUGAUCAUGCAAUUCGGUCUAAGACUAACCUUUUCUUUUUUCUUUUUUUCUUUUCUUUUUAAUUCUGAUUAUCCAACGGGUAUCAUCAGUGUUUUACUGUAGAGUUAAUUCAAUUUAAUCAAAUUCUAUUUAUAAUUCUAUUUUUUAAGACCAAUUAACUCACAUUAAAAUUGUCACGAACUUUAUGUGCCUGCGUUAUUUUUGAAUUAAAGUCAUCUAUUGUCUAUGUGUGAUAAAACUAUACUAUAUAAAAAUUUGAUGAGUUAUUAAACCACUUCGAUCUUUCUUUUGUUAUUUAUCCUCUGACGUACAUAAUUUCUUAUGAUAAAAAUACAAGAGAUUUAAGAAGUCAUUUAGAGAGGGUUAUAAUUAUAUACUUAAGUUGGUAAUAUUAUUAAAAAAAAAGUGUUUCCUAACUUUGUUUUUAAGCAAUAUGCAAUGAAUUUUCUUACUUCAUUUGAGUGAUAAAAAAAAAAACUUUAAAAAAAAUUGAUUACAUGCCUUAAUGAUUGUGGUUGCUAAAAUAUUUCGUUAAUUUAUGUACCUCUUGCAUUGAUUUGAAAAAUCUAGACAAGUGCUAAAUAAUAAACAAUUGUUUAUUAAAAAACAAAAACUAAAAAAAUCACAUCUUUGCUUGGCGUUGUCAAUCUCGGCCACCUACUAGGGUAUUGUGAGAGUAUAGUGCUUGGUGCUGGCCUGUCAUUAACGCAACAAGAUCGGAUCUUGUGAGACCUCUUGAGGCCCAUCUGAACAAUUUUUAUUAUAACAACAACGUCACUUAAUCAUUGUUAAUUAUUUUCUAUGCAUUAAUCUUCUUGUGGGCAGAAAGUGAUGUGAUGUCGUUCUCGCUCGCUACUAUAAAAUGUAAAUAUUAAUGUUGGAUUUUGUCAAAUGCAAUGCAAUUUGCUUCACAAAAUCAUGUUGAUGUGUGUGAUAGCGACAACUUUCGAGAGUGGAUUUAAUACCAGAAAUUUCUAAUCUCGAUCUUGACUUGGCAUGCACGCUGGCUACCGCCGUGCAUUGCAUUUAGGCCAAAAUAUUUGAAGGCCGUGUGUGAUUUUGGUGCGUUUGAAAUGGGCCGGAGUUAAGGUAAAAGUUAAUGUCUGCCAGCUCAAGUUGCCAUAAGCUGCCUUUUUUUUUUUCCUUCUCAAUAGUCAGUCAAUCAGUCGCUGUUCGAAGCAACUUUUGCCAUUAAAGUUAGGGUUUAUGAGAAAUUCUUCACCGUCUUUAUUUACCUACCAAAACCAAAAUAAGAAAAAAAAAAAAAAAGGGUGGAAGGUGGGCUUUAUGAUUACUGUGAUAUCAUCUCAUCCAAGUUUAGGGAAUCUUUAUGGAUACAACAAAUUCAACACAAAUCAUUGAUGUGUUCACGUGACCACAUCUGCAAGAAUGAGGCAGCGGGUGUAUUAUCUCAUUGCUUUCAUGGGUCAUGACCACAAAAGAGUGAAACAAAGGUCCAAUCAAGCUAUUAAACAAACGCUUCUAAUUCUAAAUCACAGACAAAACUAACUAAUCUUUCUGUCUCUUUUAUUUUUAUAUGGUAGUGGAUUUACACCAAGAUUCUUUCUUUUUUUGAAUUAUUGAGCAAGAAUUCGUUAAUCCGAACAAGUUGCUUCGCCAUAAACAUAUGUGAACCCAAUUAAUAGUCUUAGAUUAUGCCCAUGAUUAUUGACAAAGUGAUUGAGAAACCUUCCUUUUUUUUUUUCUUUUCAAUAAUAUGAAAAGUUUUUCUCAUUAGAAUAAUUUCAUUGAGAAAUAAUUUUUUUUUUAUAAGAAUUAAGAAAUAAAUCUAAGAUGAGUUUAGUGGAUGUAUGUAGAUCUCACCUUUAUUCACACAAAUUUUUAAAUUAUUAUUCAUCCAUAUACGUACCGACUAUGCUAUCAUUAUAUAGAUUUAGAUUUUCAGCAAACCCCUGAUUUUACAAUACAUUAGUAUAUUGUGUUGAAUUACUAUUAUUGUUUGGUUUAAGAUAUUAUCUUAUGUUAACUAAGUAGAAGCUUCUAAUGAAUAUGGCUCCUCAGUGGAGAAGAGCGUAAUGAUGGGCUCAAAAAGUUAGAAGCCCAAAAUUUCAAAAGGCCUUUUAAAUUUGAAAGCCUUGACACGUCCUCUCGAACGAUACGCGCUUGACUUUAGACCGUUGAAACGAUCCAAAGCAACUUUUCAUUUUUAUUCAGAUCCAACCGUCCACGUUAACUAGCCGUUAUUUUCAAAUAAGGAAGCGUGCAAAGCCCUUGCCUUUUCUCCAUCUUCGUCCUUCUCAUUUUCCUUUGAUUCCGCUUCAUUUCUUUUUUCUCUCUUUUAAUCCAUCAUAAUAAUCAAAAUGAAAUAAUUCGAACAGAGUUCCAUUUGUGUGAGUUUUUCAAACUUUCAAAUCCAAAAGGGUGUUUGAUUUUUUUUUUAAUUUUGUUGUUAAUUUUUUGAUGAUAUUUGCUUUCUCUUCUUAUUAUUUCGAUCCUUGGUGUGUCAUAGAAUCAAGAAUGGGUGGAUUAAAGGAGAACAUUAAUGCAUGUCUCAUUGAAGGAGCUUCUAAUUUUCAAGGUAGCUUCCUUUAGAAUUUGAUGUAUCUUCCUAUUUUUUCAAAAGAGAAAUUUGUUAAUUCGUAUGUGACACAAUGAUUUACAGCUGCUUACAUUUUUUCUGUUUUUUUUUUUAAAUUCAGCAUGUCGCCUUUUUUAAUUUACUAUUAUUAUUUUGUGUUUUUAAUUUGAAUAAAUUCCGUUCUGAAGAUGAUGUGAGAUUGGGUGGUUCCAAGCAAACGAUGGAGGUGGUUCAAAAUCCCAGAAGGGCUUUAUCUGUUAUCAAUCAAAACAUUUGGGGAGCUACCAUUCGCUCAAAUGCCAUUAACAAAAAAGGAUUAGGGUAAAUUUUCAAUUAGUUUCUUUUUGUUAAGUUCUGGUUUCAGCACUUCCAGUCUUCAAUUUACCAUGUAAUUGAUCUGAACUAUACUAUAUCUUCAGGAAUGGAGUAGCACAUAAACCAAAUCCAGGGUUGGCAGAAGCAGUGAUUGGCGACGUUGAAGUAAUUUCUACAACCAUCAAUGUUAAGAUGAUUUAUGAUUUUGCUUCAUGUCUAGAACAUGAAAUUGAAUUACUAUUGCUUGAUUUGUGGUGUUAUCAGGAAACUAGAGAUGAUCAUACAGUAAUAGAUGUCGAAGACUGUGGGGAUGAUGAUGGUGCUGCAGUCCCAAUGUUUGUGCGGCACACAGAAGCAUUCCUUGAUGAGAUUGAUCGGAUGGUAUUAGAAUUUAACAAAUCUUAGUUAUGGCCAAAACAAAAUCUUAAUGCAAUGCACUGAAUUCUGAUGUCUGCAGGACGUUGAUGAACUGGAGGUUACAGAGGACCCCAUUCUGGAUAUCGACGGCAGAGAUUUGAAAAAUCCAUUAGCAGUUGUUGAGUAUGUUGAUGACAUAUAUGCUUAUUACAGGAAAAUUGAGGUAAGCUUUCUUCGAUAGCAAUUGAAAAUAAAAAGCAUAUUAUUAAUAUUAGUCACUGAAAUGCAUAUUGGUCAGCUGAGGGCAUCAUUACGAAUGGACUUGGCACCAAGCAAUAAAAAUUGUUCAGUUUUAGUCAUUGAGAAUAGUUACCUUUAAAUCUUUAAUGAUAGUUAGUUUAUGCAGAUUUCUAGCUGUGUUUCCCCCACUUAUAUGGACCAUCAAUCUGACAUCAAUGAGAAAAUGAGGGCUAUUCUCAUUGACUGGCUCCUUGAGGUGAAAACAGAAUUUCAUUGUACCUUUCAAGAUACAUUCUAAAUGUCUUAAGAGAUUACUUUCAUUCAUCUAAUAGGAUUGAUCAUAUGGACAGGUUCACUACAAAUUUGAGCUUAUGGAUGAGACACUAUUUCUCACUAUAAAUAUUGUAGACAAAUUUCUAGAGCGGCAGGUGGUAGUAAGAAAGAAGCUUCAAUUGGUCGGUGUCACAGCCAUGCUAUUAGCUUGCAAAUAUGAGGAGGUUUCGGUACCCAUUGUCGAUGAUUUUAUUCUAAUAUCAGAUAAUGCUUAUACAAGGAAAGAAGUGCUUGAUAUGGUAAUUUUUUUGUCUUUUCUCUUCCGAUCAAAGCUAGCCCCCUCUCAUGCACUGCUAACUAGCUUUGAAUGUUCAUAUGUGCUUGCAGGAGAAACUGCUGCUGAACACUUUACAAUUCAACAUGUCUGUACCGACCCCUUAUGUGUUCAUGCGGAGAUUUCUCAAGGCAGCUCAAUCUGAUAAAAAGGUGAGGUUCACUCGUAAUCAAGUAAUUUGGAUCUAGAAUUUUUUAGUCUUCGAUAUAUUAAAGGUUUGUCAUGCUCAUGAUUUCGAGCCAGCUUGAGCUUCUGGCCUUUUUCAUCGUUGAGCUAUGCUUGGUGGAAUACAAAAUGCUCAAGUUCCCCCCAUCCUUGCUAGCUGCUGCAGCAAUUUACACAGCUCAAUGCAGCCUUUACCAGUUGAAGCAAUGGACUAAAACAAGUGAAUGGCUAACCAAUUACCCGGAAGAUCAACUUCUGUGAGCUACUUUACUUUUUUGUUUUGCAAUAACAUGUAUCCUCAAAUAUGAAUCGAGCGUAUUUACAGCUGAUGAAUUUGAUAAUGCUUGUCAACAUAGGGAAUGCUCGAGAUUGAUGGUAACACUCCAUGAGAAGGCUGCAACCGGGAAGCUGACUGGUGUUUACAGGAAGUUCAACACAUCCAAAUUUGGCCAUGCUGCAAAAGCUGAGCCUGCCCUGUUUCUCUUAAAUAAUCAGUAGUACUAGUAGCACAGUGAUAGGUAUUUGGUUAUUUGGAGCGGUGUGUGUUUGCGUGUCCCCAGCUAAUUGAGCAACAGAAGUUGCCUUGCCCCCAUUGAACCUUGUUUUAUUCAGUCUGACAGAGUUGUGUUAUAAUUAAUUUAAGCAGGUGCUUUGGAUGUGAUAGAAUAAAGAUUGUUUCUCAAAUAAUUUUCAUUUUGAAGCUUUCUUUCAACUUCAAAUAUUGUUUUAUUUUAAGGUAAAACUAAAAUCUUUUCAUCAUGUGUUUUUUUUUAACCGACACUGGCAUUUACAGAGUCAGAAAGUCUUAAAAGACAAUUAACGAAGCCUUGAAAAUGAACAAUUUUUUUUUUUUUCAUAUAUCACCUUAGUAUGUUAGCAUGUCUUGAAUUUGACUUAUCCAAAUCCAGCAAUGAGCACAUUAAAUUUGCCUUGCUUAUAAACCUAACUUAACAGACAUUAAAUCACAGGAAAACAUCAUUGUAUUGCUUUCGUGUUGAUUAUAUAUAUACACGUAUAUUAAAUUGUAAUCAAUUCACAAGGAAGGAUGCAUGUACAGCAAAAUUGCAAGCACAUUCAUGUUCCAAUCUUGUGGCUUUGGAUGUUGAGAAGUGACACUCGGGUUUCAAAUCAAACACAUUUCAAAACUUCCAGGUCCUUCAAGAUAUGGUGUGCAUGAGUGUAGUUUCUCUAGGAUGUUGCGCACAUCAUCAGCAUUCAAAAUCAUCCAUUUCCAACGAGAGAGUACAAUGCAGCAUCCGGCUUCUCGAGUUGAUUGGUUGGUCCCAGCUGUAUGUUUCAGGAUUUGACUGGAUUGAAAUGUUUUGUGUCUAAUAUAGUGCAAUAUUACAUUGGAUUGUAAAAAAAAAAUUGAAAUGUUUUGUGUCUAAUAUAGUGCAAUAUUACAUUGGAUUGUAAAAAAAAAAUUUGCCUCAAAAUGAUUUUUUUUUUUUUUUUACUUUGCUCUUCCUUAGCAUAUCAUAUUUAGGAGGAGGUUUUAGCCUUAAAAAGAUUAGGGUCAAUUUCCCCGACGCUUGUUUUGACAAUCACACAAGUGACAAUCCAUUAAUUUUUAGAGUGCUGCUAGAUAUCAAAAAGAACGAGAGAAAAACAAGAGAAACUAUAAUCCAAGCUAUCGUUUUGACUCCUCUCUCUCUCUUAUGUCAUUUUUUUCUCUCUCUUUCUUUUCUUAGCACAUGCUUCAUUCUCUCGUCUUUCUGUCGUUCUUCUUGAUACUUAGCAUUUUCCUAAUUUUUACUGGUAAAGUUAAGGAAAAAUUUUGACAUGUUUCAAUGCACCCCUCAAUUUGUUAAAAAUCUCAACCCACAUCCCAAAGUUCCAUCAUAUUUACAAGUUGACUGAGAUAGACUAUUGAAAACACUAAAAUACCUUGGCAAUAUUAUUAUAUUAUUUAAUAUAACAAAUACUUAAAUAAGAAGCAAAAUAAUUUUUUUUUUGGCCUCUCUCUCUCUCUCUCUCUCAAGCGUGCUCUCUCUCUUGAAUUAUUUCCCAAUUUUCAUCAAUACCAAUUUUAAAUCUUAAUGGGUAUUGUAUCUAAAACAUGAAGCAAAGGAGGUGAGAGAAGAAGUUAGAGAUUUUUUUUUUAAAGAAAAUUACUUUUGCAGUUUACUUUUGGAGACUUAAAUUUAGAAAUAUAUUUUUAACUUGCUGAUACGUGUCAAUGUAGAGAUUGAUUUGUUUAUGGCUUCUUAUAAAAGGUCAAAAGUACCCCUUCUCGAUUAAAUUUAGCUGAGAUUUAAUUUUAUUUAGUAGGUGGAUUGAGUUUUUCAAUUUGUUGGGUGUUGCAUUGAAUUUUGUCAAAAUAUUUGGGGUUGGUUGAUUAAAACUCAAGUUAUCCCCUUAUUAAAUCCAAAACAAGAUAUAGGACGCACCCAGCCAAUUCACAAUCAAUCUAAUAAGACAAAUUAUCACAAAUUUUAUUAAUUUCAAAUGGGAUUUUACCAAAUCUGAUCACUAAUAAUUAUGAAUACAAGUUCGUUUGGCCAUUAUAACUAUAAAGUUUAUGAGGUUCAUUUUGUUUAACGAUAUUAACUAAAAGAAAAACAUUCAACCAAAAUCAUAAAGAUUGAUUUCGCUUUGGUAUCUUUAGGUAAUCUAUGAACAUCAUUUUUUUUUUCAAUAUUUACAGUUUUUCACACAAUUAUAUUUUGUUUAAAUUAUUCUUGUUUGUGCAUGGGUUCGUGCGUAAUCUACUGUAACAAAUAACCAAUUUCAAUUACUCUGGAUUUAAAAUAAUGGGAUUUAUUUCAUAUAAACAAAUAUCUUUGUCAACAUUUGUUAUGCUAGGAAAUUAAUUCUCUAAGAAUACGACAUCUCGUGAUUCUAGUUCAGUUAUAGUUUCGUCAUCACGUUCACCAAUCAAUACAUACCCUUUUGAGUACUCAUGAUAUCUUAUAAAAAUACUUUUUUUUUUCUCUUACACCCAAUUUUCCAUGUACAUGAGAAGGAUUGUGAACAUAAGCUGCAGACCCCUAGGGUCGCAAAUGAGUUAGAACAUGUUUUCUGCAUGUCCAUAACUUAUAUGAAGUGGAACUAAUUGACUUACUCGGGACUCGAUUAAGUAUGUAGGCAGCAGUCAGCAAUGUAUCUCCCUAGUAGGAUAUUGGGAGAUUCGCUUGCGCCAUCAUAAACCUAACCAUCUCAAGUAAUGUCAUAUUUCUCCUUUCCAUAACACAAUUUUGUUGUGGAGUCCCAUAAAUAAUUAAUUGUCUCUCAAUACCUUUCUUUUGACACAAUUCCUAGAACUGUUCAGAAAGAUAUUCACGUCCACGGUCUGUUCUUAAGAUUUUGAUCGUUUUAUCUAAUUGAUUUUCAACUCAUUUUAAUUUUUUUAAAGCAAUCUAAUGUUUCAGAUUUUUGAGAAAUCAAAUAGACAUGACCAAAACGUGAGUAAUCAUCAAUGAAUGUAAUAAAGUAUGAGGCGCCAUGUCUAGCCCUUACACUCAUUGGACCACAGAUGUCAGAAUAGAUAAUUUGCAAAGAACUUUCAGCUCUAGUUCCUUUACCAAAUGGUUUUCUUGUUGUUUUUCCAGCUAGACAACUCUCACAUAUAGGCAAUGUUAUUUUAUCGAGUGAGCCCAAAUAACCCUCUCUAGAUAAUCGAUGCAUUCUGUCUUGCCCUAUAUGUCCUAGUAUGGCAUGCCAUAUAUUAACAUCCACAGAUCAGAAGAUGUGAUCAAUGAAAAACAAUUUUGAUUAAUUACAUUCAAAAUCAUAAAAUCAUUAAGUAAAUAAUCAGUUUCGACUAGAGUUUUAUUAAGAACUAAUUGCAUACAAACAUAACGGAAUAUCACAUGAUAUCCCAUAUUUAAAAGUACAAUGACAAAUACUAAGUUUCGUCGGAUCUCUGGUGCAUAUAACGCAUCGUGGAGAUAAAGCAUUUGGCCACCAUGCAACUGUAAUUUGCAAGUGCCAAUCCCUUUAGCUUCAACCCUUGAGUUAUUCCCCACGUAUAUCCACUUAGUCCCUUGACUAAUCCGACGAUAUUCUACAUAGGCUCCACAUUCAUUUGCUACGUGUUCCGUUGCUCUUGAAUCUACAAUCCUCAAAGGAUGAGUUUCAGUCAUAUAAACGGAGCCUAUUACAUACAUAUUAUGUAAAUUUGUGGAUUUAGUAUGUACAUUUUUCGGCUCGAUGCAAUCACGAGCGAAAUGACCAAGUUUGCUACAAUUGUAACAUGUCACUUUGCUCAUAUCCUUUUUCUGACCAGCACAUUUACCUCUCUUGCGCUUACCCAAACUGGAUUGCCUCUGAGAGGAGAUUUUACCUCCUCUUUUGCGUUUAAAGUCCGAAGCUUUUCCCGAGUUAGUAUCAACCAUAUAAAGUUGAGCAGAAGAUUUAGCUGCCACUAGGCUCAUCUUCUAACUCCAUCAUGCAUUUGUUCACAUGGAUAAUGCACCAGAAAAAUUCCUAGAAAGAUGGUGGAGAUUAAAAAUCCCUCUCAGUACCAAAGUUUCUUAGGCUCAUGCAUUUUUGUCAGAAUUUUCCUAUAAAUGCAAUUUAUCCAUAUUACUACGUCAGGAUAAUUCUCAUUUUAUGUUUUAAGUAAUUUUGUUAUGCUCCCACUGGAGCACAACUCUCUUAAGGAUGUAUCAUCAUAUGCAAAAAAUAUUUUUUUUUUAUAUUUUUAAUUCUACUCAUAAUUAAAAUCCACCUCCUCGUGGGAUCGUCACCAUUAAUCUAUUCUACAAUAGAUUCGUGCACUUGCGAGUUCAAUAAAAUUUGCACAACAAGUUUUUGGCGCCGUUGCCGGGAAGGUAAGUUAUUUUAAUUCGUAAAAUUAAUUUUUAUAAAUAAUUUCUUUUAAUUUUUUUCUUGUAAAUUUUUUUUCUUAUUAAAAAAAAGAAAAAAAAUUGAAUCUGCAUUUUGAGGUAAGAAAUUUCUUUUCCUUUUCUCUUCUUUAAAAUUAUGUAAUUUAAUUUUCAAAUUAUUUUUCUUUGUAAUUUUUCGUUUAUCGUAUUAAUUUAUUUUAAUUUUUAGUUAAUUUAUUUCACGUAUUUUUUAGUGUGUUUUUAUAGAAAGGUUGUAACAGCGUGAUAAAGAGUUCACAAAAAUAAAUUUUUCUAUUAGCUUUAUAACCAGCUUUGUUUUCUCACACACUCACUGGAACACAUCUAUACUAUACAAAAAAAUGAAUCAGUUUCUAUCUACUGUUCUACUCUCCUCCGGUACUUUUUGGUUUCCAUCACCGGUCAAGCUCAGAGGUGGGUGAGUAUCUGCCAAACAUUCAUCAAUCAUUCGUUCUACGUCACCCAUAUCAUCUCCAAAUUCAAGAAUAUUACCUUCAGACAUAGGCAAUGGUGCAGGAAUACCUUCAGAGUGUUAUUAUGCGAUCAGCUAUAAAUGAAUCAAUUUCUACAUGCAGUUCUACACGCUAAAAGUGGACGUUUCGCUAACCAAACUUGUUUAUAUUUUUAAUACUUACAUAAAAUAUUAUUCUCUAAUUUUAAAGCAUUUAUUUGAUCAAAAUUGAAAUUAAAUAUAUAAACAUAUUAUAAAUUAAUUUUUAAAUCACAUCAAAAUAAAGAAUAAAAAUUUGAAGUGGUCGCCGCAAAUGGCGCCUAAAAAUUCAAUUGGGAAGGCGAUGCGUGGAAUACACUCUCCAUCGCCGCGAGUGGCAUGAAUAAUGAAAUCAAUGUUCAUCUUCUUCAAGCUCACCAAUUUUCCAGAUUUCGAACCAGAAGUUUAAAUGUUCCGUUCUCUCUCAAUACACGUCGGAAUUUUGCAUAUGAUAUAUUGAUUAGUAUUAAAAAUUGUUUAAUUAUCAAGCGAUAAUAUGUUAUUUUAUGCUUAUGUUAUAAUUUAUAUUUGUGUUUAUGUAAUAUAUUAUGAAUUAUGAAUUAUGUUUUAAAUAUAUUUAAUUUUGUGUAUUUUUAUGUGUUUAUUAGGAAAAUUAUUAAUUUCACGUACUUCGAGGCUCCAAACAGAUAAACGGAGGUCAAAUUUAGAUUCCGGAGGUCCGAAAACCUUAAGAUCAGUCAAGAUCGGCUUAAAAUUGGGCUUGUGUAAAAAAAGUUGACUUUUCCUGUUGACCGAGCAUUGAUUGGAUGAUGAAAUGAGCUUACAAUAGAUAUGAGUGCAUGGGAUAACUGGCAAUCUUGACUAAAUCUCAACCGUUCAUGAUUCAAUGGCCAUGAUUGUGCCACGUGGCAAUGGUUGGUGAAGCAAGUUGGAGGAUUCGAAUCUUUGUAUUCGGGUCGACCCGAUCCACCUAUUAACCCGCCAAAUCUCAACCGUUCUUUGGGCAAAUCGGAUGAGUCAAAUGAUGCCAUGUGUGAUGUUGACUUUUGAAGUUUGACCAGCCAUUGGAUCUUGAUCUAAGGGUUGUGAGGAGCACAUGCAUGAAGCCUAUGAUGGACCGCAAAGCACUGGAUUAUAAAUUUAUUUUUCUAUAAAUAGGGCCUCAUUUUUAUGUUUUAAGGAUCUCUCUACAACUCUCUUCUUCUCAAAUUCUCUCCAUCUCCUUGUAAUCUUGAUUUCCAGGUGUGUUUUUAAUAUUUUGUAUAAUUAUUUUCAUUAAUAAAAUUAGUUUUAUUUCCAAUUUUAGUUGUUUUUAUUUCUUUUAAUUAUAAGUAAUUCAAUUUUACUACUUCUUUUUAUUUUAAUUAUGCUUAACUAAAUAAUAUUAGUUAGGGGAAGGUGAAACUCUUAAGAAAUAAAUAUGAUUUAAUCAAAUUCUAUGUUUAAUUUUAUAAAUUAAAUUAUUUUCUAUUUAAUUUUAUACAUGUUUUAUAUUUUGAAAAUUUGAUUUAUUGUAGACAAACAAAUGAAUUUGGCACAAUAAAUUCUUAAGAUCUUAAUAUAAGGCAUGGUGAAAUGGUAUUUUGACUUAUUGUAGACAAAUUAAAUUUUGGCACAAUAAANNNNNNNNNNNNNNNNNNNNNNNNNNNNNNNNNNNNNNNNNNNNNNNNNNNNNNNNNNNNNNNNNNNNNNNNNNNNNNNNNNNNNNUUUAUUAAUUUUUAUUUAUUUCUAAGAGUGGAUCCAUAACCCUAACUAGUUCAAUUCCAUAGUUUCAUUUAAAUUAAGUUGUUUAUAUUCAAGUUUUAAUUUCAAUUUUUAGAUAAAAUAAAAUAAACUAAUUAAAUCUUUUCUCUGUGGAUCGACCUCGGACUCACCGAGUUAUAAUACAACAAGACACUCUUAUACUUGGGAGUUAAAAUUUACUUUUAAGUUGUGUCAUAUACCGUUGGAAAGAUCUUUUCAUAUUCAUAUGUUAUGUAUCAUAAAAGUUAUGAGUAAAAUAAACCUACGGGUUCAUAUCCUAGUUUUUCAUUUUACUCAUUACAUAGAUCAUAUUAAUCCUCAUGGCAACUAGGAAUUAAUCUAUACACCUUAAUAUGUUUAUUAAUCCAGUAGCAUGGCAUAAAAAACAAGUGAAUUAUUACAUGCCAUUAAUAUGUGUUCUUGAUGAAAAAAAUUAACCUUUUUAAAGAACAUGCUUGGUUUUUAUGCUUUACAUGCUCAAAUCAGAACACAAUCUAUUUAUCUCUGAUACCAAUGUUGAUUUUCGAGCAAGAAUCAACAUAAAAACUUGUAAAUCUAAAUUUAAACACAUACCCGGAUUAUAUGCGGAAAACUGAUAAACCAAGAUUGUGCUACUGAUUUAUGGUCGGAGGAUGACCACAAAGUCAGAAAAUCCUCUCAAUUCACAUUGCAAGAACCGUCUAAGCUUCUCUUGACUUGAAUUUUCUCCAAAUUGUACUUUUACUUAUUAUUUGCUUAGCUUCGCUUAUCUAUGGAUUUGCACUCUAUUUAUACCAUUCUAAAAGUAGUGAUCAUCUUCUUAAUGAUCACUAAAUAAACUUAAACAAAUGUUAGAGUGAUCAUCUUCUUAAUGAUCACUUAAUAUCUUUCACUAUAAUAUUGUAAGAUAUUAUAGAGUUAUAACUCAAAAUGAUCACUUACUCUUGGUCAUGCAUCCCUCAUGAGUGACCUCAAAGUGAUAGAACCCUAUAUAUAAAUAUAUAUUCACAUAUAUAUUUCUAACACGACCUGUGUACACAACGUUUGCAGCCUUUUCGCCGAUCUCAGAUACUAUGACUUUGACCACCAGCACCAUUAAUACAGACCACGAAACAAUUCCUCAAGGAAUAGAAAAAUCUACUAAAGAUGAAGACAAGAAGACUGACAAAAGACAAAAGAACAACAGAAUCUAAGUCUUACAAUCUACUACUGUGAGCUGGCUACUUAGUGACUACUGAGCAGAUGGAAACAAAAGGAACCAUAAAAUGGCUAACAAAACCAAAACGAAGAUCCAAAAGACUUGUUUAUUUUCACUAAUAUGACGUAUGCGAUCCCCGUGAUUGUUUCUAUGUUCAGCUUUUGCGCAUGCUCUUUCAUAAUCUUUUCUUUGUUGAUGAAUGCUUUGAAUCUUAAUCCAGCCAUUGCCCUUUCUUGGAUCACGCGGUGCUAUUGCUGCUAUUGUUUCUUUUCCCUCCUAAAUUUUUGUUUACUUUGUAAUUUCUGAUGAACUGCUCAAUCAAUUUUAUACACGUGUUUUUUAGUUACCUGUUAACAGAAUUGGGUUAUUUACUCUUCAGUUUUUUGUUUUUUUUUUUGUUAAAGAAGAUCAUAUGUUUAAGCAAAAAAACCAGUCCAGCCCAGGCCUUUCGGCUUUGGCCCGACCCUCUCAUGCCUGGAAAGGCCUGGCCUAGCCCAAACCUUGUAUUUUUCAAAAUUAGAAUAUAGAAUAUUAAAUUUUAUCAACUUAGUUUACACAUUAAUAAACCUAAACCUAAAAUUCUCUCAUAUGUAACACCCAUUUCAGCGUCCCCAUCCUCACAUUUCCAAUUCCAACCCUUCAAUUUUUUUUUGGGUUAAAUUUACUUGUUAUUUUUGUUAAAUGUAGUGAGAAAGAUCUUGUAAAAAGCAUAAGAUGAGAUUGAGAACAGCGGCUGCACUUUGAUGUAUUUUAGUAGCCUUAUGUUGAUUUUGAUGUCAAAGUUGUUGUACUCAUGACCUGUUAUUGCUUUGGGAUUAAUAGCAUAUUUGUUCAAACGUAUGCACCACCACUGCUUUGACAUGAGCUUAAUGUGUGUGUGUCGAUAUAUAUAUAGAGUAGUUUUCAAGUCCGGGAUAUUAAAGUGCGGGAAAAAUGCAGGAAAGCUUUAAAACCGCAGGGUUUUAAAAGAUUAAAUGUUUUCCCGAAGGAUCCCACACUUUAAAAUUCCAGAUUAAAACAUUUAUUUAUAUAUAUAUAUAAAUGCAUGCUUGACGCAAAAGCUUAAUGACCUUUUCAUGACCUGUUAUUGCUUUAGUUUAAUGGACUUUAAAUGAAGAAACUACAAACUAGCUUAGCUUGAGGUGACCAAAAUAAUAUGAAAUAAUAAUAAUAAUAAUAAUAAUAAAUAAAAAAUAAAAAUAAACGGGCCAAACGAAAACUUUUCAAGUAAAUUACCAAAAUGGAUUCUAAUUGAAGAAACUAAAAGCUAGCUGCGCAGCUAUUAGCACCCUUCCAAAACUCUCACAAAACCGCUUUCUUCUAUAGUCACCACUUUAACGUUUAAUUUUAGUUCAAUUAGAAAACAAAUUUCUUAUUAAAACCCUUGUUACCUUCAACGGCAUAAAGAAAUUUAAGGGCGGUUAGGGACUCACGUCUCUAAAUAACCAUUCGAGAAAGACAAUAACUAAUUCAUCCAUGAAAGAUAAUAACUAAUGUAAAAUAUAAAUUGGAAAACGGCUCCAAAAAUUAAAAAUUGGUUGUGAAUAUGGGUUUAGGGUUUGUGAUUUCAUAUUGAGAUUUUUUCUUUAUAAUUAUUUUGUACUCUUCGAAUUUGUUUUUUAAUUAUUAGAAGACAUCAUUUCCUUAGUUUAAAUUUUACUCUAAACUAGAAAAAGGACAAACUUGUAUCCGUACCUUAUCCAAUAAAAUGAAUAACAAAAAUCAAGCAAAACAGAUAAUCCAAACAACUUUUUUUCAUAACAUGACAAGUGAGCAAAUUAUUUUAUUUAGCAGGCAGUCUGAAAUAAAACAAAAAUUUCAUAUUAACUUCGGAGAGUUUAGAUCCAACGGGGUGUGCUAAGAGAGUGAAGUAUGGCUGUAUGAGGUUAUUUGUAAAAUUAAAAUAGAUUUUCUUAUAAUAAAGGUCCCUUUAGAAUUGUUUUUGAGAGGUUUAAAUGUAAUUCUAAAAAAUUAAAAGCUAAAUUUGGUGUUUCAUAAUUUUUUUUUAAUAGAACCACUUUCAGCAAGAUUGCCUCACACUACAGUAAUUUUUGAAAAGUAGGAAAAUAGUAUAUUUUUCAAAAUCUGAUUUUGAAAACUAGUUUUAUCUUUAAUAUAUAUCCUCAUAUAUAUUAUAAAACUCCAAAAUUAUCUUUAUUAAUUAAGAAUUAAAAUCAAUAAUUUUUAAAAAAUUAUCAUUAUUACCAAUUAUUUAGAGAUAACAAAAUAUAAAAUAUAAAAUGUGGAUGAUAAAAUUUGAAAGGUUAGGUCCUGUGGCUUUGCUAGAAUUGAUUAAUUUGAAUGAGAUAAAUAAAAAACUUUAUAUGCUAAAGAAUGAACAAUCCAAUGCACAGAAAUACUGAAAUCACUGGCCUACAAUUCAUUCAAUAUUUAUAAGAAAAGUUAUUAAUGAACCACCAUAUUUUACAUCGACAAUUUAUGUACUCACGUAAAUUAUUUUUAACAAAGCCUUGCACCACCUAACUUUUCACAUUUUGUCAAAAAUUUUCAACUUAACCAUUAUUUAUAACUAAUUAAUUGAUUAAACUAUUUUAACAUUCUGUCAUAAAUUAUUUUUUAUAUAUUUCAAUUACUUGACAAGUUUCUAGUUAUCUCAAUGGAAAAGUUUUUUUGUUGUGUGAGCCGUGGAUUGAAAUCGUUAAAAAUGGUACUUAAACAAUUCAUCAGCUCUUUAAAAAAGCUGCACAAUCUUUAGAUUCUCAAGACUACUUCCAAAAUCUCAAAAUUGGAGCUUCUUUUCAAAAGAGAUAAAUAUAAAUUCUCCUCCAAAAACUCAUUCUCUCAUUACACUCGAACAAAGUUAAAUAAAUAAAAUAAAAAGAGAUUUUGAAUGACACUAAUAUCUCUCUCUCUCUCUCUCUCUCUAUAUAUAUAUAUAUAAAAUAUUUUGGCAAUCAUAGAAGCUUCAAGAAACCGGCUAUACGCAUUGUACUUGUUGCUCCUGGCUACUUUUAAUCCAUUCAGGACUCGUCUAAUAUUUAAGUAUGGUUAUUGUAAUACUUGAGUUAGAAAAUUUAACGGAAUUACUUUAUGCAACUGAACUUGAGUCACACCUAUAUUGUCAACAUAAUCCUCAAAACAAUAAGCUAAUCCUGAAUCAAACCCAAAAAUGGGGAAGAGAAAAAAGAAUAAAAAUCUAAUAGGGAGAGAAUAUAACUAUACAAGUAAGUCCAUGAUAUACGGAGCCAUCCAGCAGGCCACCGUACUUACUGGGCAGCAAGAAUUUGAUUUCAUAUUCUACAAUUGGCAGCUGCAGCAAAACAGGAAGACAUUAACAUAAUGAAUUAAUGAUAUCAGAAAACGCACGCAAGAAGAAUUUACCACAUGAUUUACAAGGGGUAGGUGAAAAAUAAGGAUUAUUAGAAACAAAAUUGUUCUUGCUCAAGCUGAAUUUAUAUACUCACUACAAAAGAUAAACUGGUUGAGAUCAAGAGUGAUCCUGCCCUGCUUAGCUGUAUCAAAUGAAUUAAACAGAUUCCUGAGGAAAAAAAUGAAUAAUAAUCUCCCCAUCAGCAGAAUGGCAUUAAAUUUUUGAAUUCAUUGAUAAAUACCAUAAGCGCUGCACUAUGUCUCAAGACUCGUGCAAUUUUUGUGGAAUGUGAGGGCAUUUAUGUCAAUCAACCAUCCCUAAUCACUCAAGGUGCAAUAUUCAACAUGAAAAUUUAAGGGAUUCAUACCGAGCAGACUGCAAAAAUAUACAAAGGGAUAUGAAGUCAUCCAGACGAAGUCUUCCAUUCUUAUUCUGAUCAAAACUCUGAGUGAUAAAGAAAGCUAUCAGAUUCAAUGGCCAAAAAAACCAAUUCUCACCUUAUAAAGGAGAAUAAACAAAUUAUUCACUACCAAACAAGAUAAUAGUUCAGAGAAGUAAAUCUAAUAAGGCAGUCCCAGUUAAACUUUGAUGAAAGGUAAGAUCUCAAAGACGUGUAGAGUUAUUUUGUGGAACAGAUCGUAUUUAGUAAUAUUACAGCAAGACUGCAGUACACAAUGUUGUACGCCUAGAGACGGUGACUGAACAUCCUCUCUAGCUUCCAUUUGCAAGCAAGGAUAAAUAUAUAAUAAGCACGCUGAAUAUCCAAACAAAUCGCAGAUGUAAAGCCACAACAGUGGCAUGUACUAUACUGUAAAAGGUCUCUAUUUGGAAUGUGUUCCACAUACAGUAGUAGGUCACAUAUUUCAUCACUCAAAAUGCUAAUACCAGCAGCUUACAAAAUAACUGAUCAAAGCAAUCAAGCUUACAAUUUUACUUGAGCAACUAAAGAGCUAAAAUUCUUCUAGAUCUUGUAUAAGCAUCUAGGUUUGCUUCAUGUCCCUAGCCAUUAACUCUAGAGUAAAAUGAUCAAUGUUAAAGUAGUACAUCUGCAUUAUUUUAUGUGAGAAAGAUCUCUUUUAAUUUAAAAUAAAAAAUGCUCGUGCAUACCUCACAGACUGUGUAAAAAGCUGGUGAGUCCAAAGAAAAACCAAUUUUCACCAAUGCCUGUAAUUAGGUUCAGCAGUUACAAUCCAGAAUUACAGCUCCGACAAGAAAACAAAGGCAAAUAAUUAUAAAUUAGAACAGGCAUUCUUGAGGCUAUGCAACACAUCAUUUUUUCAUCUAACUAACAGUCAAAACCAUGUCAAAAGAUACCUCAUACACGUUAUCGGGAACAAGAUAUCCACGACCCCUGCAACAAUGAACCCAAAAACUGAGAUAGAGUGUAGAUAUACAAACUUCUUGGACCAAACAUUUGUACUGUAUCUCAAAGCUACAUCAAAUCUUUAUCUAAAUAGUGAAGAAAAAAUAAAAAAUAAAGAUUUUUCAAUUUUUCUUUAUCUUAGUAAUGAACUAAAAAGUUUUAUAUAACACUGCUUAAUACAACGAUUACCUCUCCAGGUCUGAGAAGGCAUGUUGAACCUGCAAACAAGUUUGAGUAAAUAAUUAUCAUUUCUUCUUCUAUGCUCGUGGAUAUACAUAAUAAUACAGAUUAUAACUUGCACUUAAGAGAAACAACAAAUAAGUUAAGGGUACAUUUCAUUCAUAAUCUAGAAACACUUUCAAAACUAAAGUACAACUGAAGAUUUUUUAGAUAUAAUAGGAUAUAAUCUUAAAGAAGCUAGUUUUUGGAAUGAGUUUGAAAACUAUUUUCAAAGACUCUCAACAGAACACAUUUUUCAAAACUGCGAAAACAUGUAUGGAAUCAAAGACCUACACUAAAAUAGUAAAAUUAAACAGGCCAUUGUCUUCAUGUCGAACCAUAGAGCCACGAACUCUUUACAGUUUGGAGACUAGUAUUUGACUGGAUAAAAAAUGAAUGUAUCAGUUAUUUUCGAAAACAUACAACUGCAUUCAGAUUGCAGAUCACAGAGCAGUACAGUAACUAAGCUUCUUAUUGAAUCAAGCUCAUAUAUUUUAGUUAAAAUUACAAAUUUUCACUUAACAGAUUAAAAUCAUCACAAAAUGGAUAAAGUGACAGUUGCUAACCUUUAGAAGGAACUUGUUAAGCUCCACAAAUUCUGGAUUCCAAACAAAAAAAAAAAAAAUCAACAAAUUAUAGUAAAUUAAUUAAAAAAAAAAGUAAAUAAAAACAAAUCAUUCAAAACUAAACUUACCCUCAAAGCUCAUAGUACCAUUCCUAUCAAAAUCAUACAUCCUUGGAAAAUUAAAAAAAAAAAUUAUAUUUGUCAGCAAUUUACCAUACACACACGAAAAAAUAAAUCAUUGAAAAAAAAUGAAAGAACCUGAUCAUUUGUUGAACAACAGAGAGAGAAAAAUCAAGAUUGCCAACGGCGAAAGCGUGCUGACAGAAAAAAAAAGAAAAGAAAAGAAAAGAAAACGACACGUCAGUUUGCGUUGUGGUUAAAUGGAAAAGAUAAUUUGUUUCAAUUUGAGAUGAUAUAGAAUAGAAACAAUGAGCAAAGAGAAGUUUAAACCUUGAGCUGAGCUGCUGCUAUGCUUCCUGUUUUUUCUGAGUCAACUCGAUCGAACCACUCUCUCAAAACCGCUGUGUUCUCCAUUUUCCUCCGCUUCAGAAUAAUUUAGUGUUUUUCCUUUACUCGCGAUUUAAAUAUAAAUGGAUAAUAACAUUGAGAUCCAUUAUAUUUCGUUAUCUUCUUAAAUAAAGCAUAUUUUUUCCAUAUACACCAAAUAGAUCCGCGAUCCGUUCCCUUCUGUAACAGUGUAAUCAAUCAGUAAUGACCAGUUUCACAGAUGAGGCCUUAUCACAUAAUUAUCACACAUUUUAUCUUUUUUUUUUUUUAAUUCUUUAAAAUGUAGGACAUGAUAACAAUAUAACAAGAUUGUUUCAGUUUGUCGUUAAUACGUUUAAAAGAUGUAUAAAAUUAUCAAAAAGUACUUAAAAAUUAUGAAAAUUAGAGUCAAAAUUUUUUUUUGAAUACUGAUUAAACAUUAGAUUACUGUAUUACACAGAUAUUUACAACAACUACUAUUAUAACAGAUAUAUUACACUGAUAAUUACAAUCAGAUAUACAUAAUUAAGAUUUAUAUUAUUACAUUAAAUUCUGUAAAAUACAUGCCCAGACAAAUAAUCUCUCACAGAAGAAGAAUGUCUAUACUCCACUCAUAUUUCAUAAGAAAGAAUAAUUUUUACAUAUUAAGAAUAUUUAGCUCCCACAAUAUUUUUAUAGGAGCUAAAACCGCUGCCCUCAUAAGACAUUUGUGGGGGCUAGAAUCGCUGCCCUCACAAGUCUUGUGAGGGCAGCAGCCCACCACGUCGGCCCAGGCCGAAGUGGCAAUUAGAGUCAAGUUACUAAAGCAAUUGAGGGACAUGGGGACAUUUUAACCACGUACCCCCGAUUUCAAGAUUUUUCUAUAAAUUCCCCAAUUACUUCCAUAUUUAUACUUACAGUUACCAACCAUCAACCAAGGGGUUAAAUGAUAGAUUAUUCCAAUUUCUUUGGAUCAAAACAAAUUCGCACGUGACACAUGCGAGCCGAGUCGCCAACGUUGUUGAGUGUCCUCCUCCGAGCGUCGAAAGAGAAUUAGUGGGUUUGGUUGGGUCCCAAAACGACAACGCUCCCUCCAUCUCUGUAAGUGAUUUUACCCCAGCGUCUGGCGCAUCUCUGUAAGAGAUCUUAUCUCUUAAUUUUUUUCAGUUCAAUGAACUUUUAAUUGAUCAUCGAUUAAUUAAUUGGCUUAGUUGGACUCAAAGUUUUCAACUUUUCUAAACUCAAGAAGAGAUAUCAUUUUGAGGACUGUAUUUUUUCCUUCUUCAAUUUUCUAUGAACUUUUGAAAAAAGAAAAAAAAUUGGGUAUUGCCGUUUCUCAUGGCAUAACUAUUUUCAUGAAUAAAAUAAGAUAUGAGAACAUAGUUUUAAAGCAAUUUUAUUUAUUUUUUAAUUAAAAAAUGAUGAUUUUAAUCUUAUAUUUGUUUUUGAUAACAUUUGUUUUUGGGUGUUUUGUAACAGGUCCAUGUCCAUUUGGCUCAUCAAAUGUUGUAUUAUGAGUUUGUUUGUGGGUUUGUAGUUCCAUUAUGCUGGUGGUAUUUGAGAGCAUAGCCCAAUUAGAAGUUAGUAUAGCUCAUGAGGAUUGCAAGUUAUCACAAUCUCGUUUCUUUGUUUGCUUAUGCGACUCCCAUAUGGGCAAGUCUAAUUGCCGGUGUCCUAGUAGUAGUGACCCUUUCACUUUCGAUGUACCUUUUGUUUGACCACCUUUCUGCAUACAAGAAUCCCGAGGUUUUUGUUAAUUUGUUGCUACACUUUGUCGAAUUUUUAUUGAGAUCUUCAUAGGUUUUGUACUCUAUUAUUGUUUAUUCACUUAUAUUCUUCUUUUGUCCCUGUAUUCAGGAACAAAAGUUUCUGAUUGGAGUUAUUUUGAUGGUUCCUUGCUAUGCAGUAGAAUCAGUAAGUUGUUUAAUAAUCAAUUUGGCAUAAAGAAGUUACUAUCUUCUUGAAUGGAUGUACUUUCCAUCUGUAGAGAAAGAUGAGCUAUUCAAUUUCAAAUUUAGAAUCUGGAUAGGUUUUCUUUUGUAACUUUUUGACAGGUUUGGAUGGGCGAAUCUAGUAUGAGACUGCAUGUCUCUGAAUUACUAGAUUGGAUAUUAGAAGUGAUUUGGGGAUUAUGUGAUACAUUUUUAUACAUCACUGUAAAAUGAGGUGACAUAAUUGUAUUGGAAGGUUCAGUGUUUUGUUUAUUGGUGUGGAACAUAUUCGAGUGUUUUCCAAUGUGAAAAUAGUUUUUCCUGUCCUAUGUACAUUGUUUGGUACUCCUUCCCUCUGCUGCAUCAUUCUCUUUUCCUAACAUGGAUUAUUUUGAACAGUUUGUCUCAUUGACGAAUCCAACAGUUAGUAUUGACUGCGAAAUACUACGGGAUUGCUAUGAGUCCUUUGCUAUGUAUUGCUUUGGAAGAUAUCUUGUUGCUUGCCUGGGUAUGUAGUUUUCAAUAGCUUUCUCAUGCAAUGCGAAUUUAUUUUGAAAUAGAGAAUUCCUUUCUUAUUCAUUUGUUGGUCUCGUAUUUAUGUGCUGAUUCUCAUUCUUGUUCCUAUGGUGUUUCAUUUUUUUAAAUAAUAUAUCAAAGGGGGGGAAGAGAGAACUAUUGAGUUUAUGGAAAGAGAAGGACGUGCAAGUCAUAAAGCUCCGCUGUUAGAACACAAUUCUGAAAGAGGAAUUGUGACACAUCCAUUCCCAAUGAAUUAUAUCUUAAAACCAUGGGAACUUGGUCGAUGGUUUUACCAACUUGUCAAAAUUGGAAUUGUUCAAUACGUAUGUUUUCUUUCACUCACUGAAAGAUUAACUUUUGCUGCAUUUUACUCUUCUUUUUUUUCAAUUUUUUCUUUCUUUCAUUGUUUAAUAGCGGUGGGUUAUAUGUUUGUCUGGCAGAUGAUAAUAAAGUCUCUCACUGCUCUUUUGGCUGUCGUUCUUGAAGCCUUUAAUGUGUAUUGUGAAGGAGAGUUCAAGUGGGGAUGCGGGUAAGAUUAUUUCAUGGACCAUUAAUGAUAUCUUGUUAGCACAAAAUUUCACUGAAUAAUUUGAAUGCUUGAUUGUGUUCUAUUUUUCAUAGAUUAGCCUUCUGAUCAUCUUAUUUAAUGCAUAACAAAUUUUAAACAGCACGCAGCUGGGUUGAAUGGUUUGAAUCUUGUUUUAGGUCUAUCAGUCUCUUCGUGGGUGUGGAGAAUUGUUUGUUAUUUGAUAACCAUGCAAUAUGCUGUUAGGAAUCAGAAUGAUUUCAUGUGGACAUGUUUGCACCUAUUCUCAAUUUUGGUUUGUAUUCUCAGGGAGUUUUGCUGUUUGAAAAAUAGGUGUCUUUUUGAACUAGUGGUGUUGACUGUUAAUUUUUCUAGAUCUGAAACAGUGGGCAGCUAUCAGUGGAAUUUGAUUAAGAAAUCUCUUAUUCUCUGUGCCUUCUUGUGUUUUUGUAGGUAUCCUUAUAUGGCGGUGGUUCUAAAUUUUAGUCAGUCUUGGGCUUUGUAUUGUCUAAUUCAAUUUUAUACAGUCACAAAAGAUGAAUUGGCACACAUAAAGCCAUUGGCCAAGUUUUUGACAUUUAAGUCAAUUGUAUUUUUGACUUGGUGGCAAGGUGUAGCAAUUGCUCUUCUUUAUUCCCUUGGUUUGUUUAAAAGUCCUAUAGCUCAAGGCUUGCAGUUUAAAUCCAGUGUCCAAGACUUCAUCAUUUGUAUAGAGGUAUGCCUUCCAUCAUCUUCAAACAUUUUUUGAUGUUUCUCAAGUCUUUCAAGAUUUCAUGUCACCUGCUUCCACAUUCAUAGUUAUUCUCUAACGUCAUAUUUUUCUGUAGUCUUUAAAACAUUGUUUCUCCUGCCAAGGUUUAUGAAUGUUAUAAAUCUCAUUAAAAUAUUGAAGUUAAACAAGCACUUGUAUUCAUCCAGCACAGAUGGCAAUUGCUUCUAUUGUUCACCUAUACGUAUUCCCUGCAAAGCCUUACGAGCAAAUGGGAGAGUGCUUUUCUGGGGAUAUUUCGGUCCUUGGAGACUACUCUGCUGAUUGUCCGCUGGACCCUGACGAGAUUCGGGACAGUGAGAGACCCACAAAGUUACGGCUACCCCAGCCAGAUGUUGACAUCAAGAGUGGAAUGACCAUCAGAGAAAGUGUCCGGGAUGUUUUUGUUGGUGGCAGUGGAUACGUAAGUUUUUUUUAUCCUAUGAUGUCAUAUUGAAGCAGCCUGGACAGGUGGAUCUUUUCACCAUUGCAAGCUAUAAGAAAAAGGAAUAGAUUUGCUUUAGUUGCCUGGACUUAGUUUUUUGCUGGUUGCCUGGAAUAUCUUAAUAUUGUGGGAAACAAAAUAUUGUUCUUGUGGGACAGAUUAUAACUAAUUGCCGUUUGUAUACUCCAUAUAGAUUUAUGGAUCACUUUUGUCUCAUUAAAUUUUAUUUUAUUGUUGUAAGCCUGUUCUUAGUCUUGAAUCUGAUGUUUGCUUUCUAUGCAGAUUGUGAAUGAUGUGAAGUUCACUGUAAACCAAGCAGUAGAGCCUGUGGAGAAGGGGAUUACAAAGUUCAAUGAGAAGAUACAUAAGAUCUCCCAAAAUAUAAAGAGGCAUGACAAGGAUAGGAGAAAAACAAAGGAUGAUAGUUGUAUUGCCUCCUCACACACAAGGAGGGUGAUACGUGGGAUUGAUGACCCCCUGUUAAAUGGGAGCAUCAGUGAUAGUGCGCCCACAAGGAAGAAGCACCGCAGAAAGUCAGGAUACACCAGUGGCGAGAGCGGUGGAGAAAGUAGCAGUGAUCAAAACUAUGGUGGUUACGAGAUUAGGGGUCGAAGGUGGGUCACCAAAGAUUAGUUAAGAGGAGUUAUUGUAGCAAUUUGGACCCAAAAAGGGGGAAAAAAGAAAAAGAAUCUCAACAAGGAUGGUUCUGGAAUGAAGCACGAACUGUUCAUAUGCGGGCAUUUGGUUAGAAGAGUGCAAUUUUCCUCAUGAGGUUCCUGGAUCUUGCUUUACAUAUAUAGAACAUUUACUGCUGCACCAGGAGGCUGCACGUGUAUAUGAUUCAAGAAUUCUGUUGUGGAUUUUUUGCCGGUAAACUGAGGUGGUUAUAGGUGAUCAAUGGUGUACGUUAGGUUUGCAUGAUGGAAUUCAAUUUGUUGUAUAGAGUUUCCUGAAGGCUUGGGUGAUAGUAAAUGCCACUGGAUUGGGAAAAUUGCUUUUUUUGUUUUCAACAGAUUCAUCGAGUAAAAUGUAACUAUGUCCUGUCUUAGCAAUGCAUUGUAUUAUUGACAAAAUGCUUUCCAUUUUCUUGUAAAUUAGUAGUGCAAGUCUGCUUUAUUCAGGUUUUCAUCAUGUAGAUUCUUCGGUGACUGGAUGCUUGUACAAUCUCAAUUGACAAUAAGCUACGACAUAGCACACACUUUUCCCUCAGACUUUUCUCGCAAAAAUCUAAGGGUACAUAAGCUCUGACGAUAUUUCCCAUCUUGUAACCAAAUUUCCUAUGCUGAGAAUUACAGCAUCAGUCAGGUAAUUCAGUGACUAUAAGAAAAUUAGAAAAGAGAGAACAGAAACAUAUCAAAAUAUCCUUAACGACAGCAAAUUAGGGAGCCUGAGGCUGAUUCUCCUAGGCGUUCAACAAUCAGCAUUCACUUCAUUGCGCACUCUUUGCCAAUGGAGACUUAAAAUAUAAUCUUAAGAGUAAAUGAUGCUUCAUUCAAAGCCAUUACAGUGCCCAUAUAAUCUUCCAGUUAGAAAUUGCUGGCAAAAACUACCAACAACUCGAGCUCAAUAAUAUCCGGCCUAACUCUUCUAGGCAGAUUCAGCGAACUAUUGUACAACGGACCGAAGUUCUCCAGUAAGCAGAGCAUUUUUCCGGUGCUGUGACAGGAUGUUGUGGACUCGGACAGUUUCAAUCCUUGAUGCCAAGUUAUCACAAUUGGGCUCUGUAACUUGCUUAACGGCAUUAAGUAGUGUCUGCAAGAUUUGUAGGGGAUCACCAUGGCUAACAACCAAAAUUGCGCAUCUGCAAAACAAACAUAAAGUAAACACAAGAAAUUAGGGGCUAAUUACCUCAAGCUACUAGAAGGAUGAAAUCAUUGCAGUUGUAUAAGCAUUCUACAGGACCUAACAAUUAUCACGCUAAACACCUAACAAUUAUCACGCUAAACAAUAUGAUAUUCAGGUAACAUGAACAAAAUGUUAAGCAUCUUAUCAAGGAUUUAAAAUUAAUGUUUUUUUUUCCACAAUAUCAUUUGAAUUUCUUUGAGAAUUCAGAUGGGAAAUAUUUUUCUGCUAACUCAUACUACUAAGGUUUUAAGCAUUCUGAUCCAGGAUCAUAUUUUUAGUUGUUAGCAAUCCAUAAUCAAGGAGUCAUCAUUCAUGUUGUUACUUAUUUGUUUGCUUUCAAAUUUGUAUAUCCUUAUUUGUUUGCUUCCCAACUAGUAUCAAUGUCAGUGUCUUAGAAACAUAAAUGCAGCAUUUAUUCUCAAAUAAUUCCCUGAUUUGUUUUCCGGAAUGCCAAAUAAGGAUGAGCAUUAUUACCCUUGAAAUUCCAAUUCCAUAGCUGCCAUAGCAGUUGCAAGUCUAGAAACGACGUCAUUGACACUUUCUCCUCCCUCCGGUCGCAUGAAUGGAUCUUUCUCAUCUAGGGCCCAUAUCUCAGGAUACUGCUCACGGAAGGAAAUAGGAAAUAAGAAAGCCUCAAAUACUAUGCAAUUAGGGGGAAAACAAAAACUUGUGCAUAGGUUCAAAUAGAAUAGGUCAGUUGAUGUAGAUAUCACCACAUAUCAAUUAAACCUUCACCCUAAAUGCUUAUAAUGCCCCUAUUAUAAAGCAGAAGCAAUCUUUCAUAUGCCACAUUUAUACUGACAAAUGACAAUUAGAUUUCAUUAAUAGGACACAUACUUUAUCAUGUGACAAAAGUUCAAAUGAAGGGCCAAAGAAACGUUCUCGAAGAUCUUCCAUCACCUGCCCAGCAAAAUUAACUUCAAGAUCAGUGCAAGCAAGUGCGUGAUGAAAAACAAAUGUUUCAUUUUAUUUGUCAAAAUAAAUUAGCAAUUUUUUGUCCCAAACCUACAAUAGAAAGGAAAGAAUACUGAAAAUAGAGUGUGAAGUUCUGUUUGACUGAAUAUAAGUCUCUUUUGAGAAAACAAAUACACAAAUGCAAAGUAUUUAUCCUCAUCUCUGGACAAGUCAGUAAGCAUUAGCUGAAGCAUUUAACAUACACAUGUAUGUUCUGUCUAUUAUUCAAAGCAUUUCAAUGCAAAAGCAUCUGGGUAAUCUCAAUAAGAUAAAUCUUUGCAAAUUAAAGCAGCUUACCUUACAUUGAGGACCUUCAAAAGGAAGAUUCAAAACAGAUGCAACGACUUCAGCUGUGUGUGUUGUUCUUGAAAAUGGAGAGUAGCAUAUGCGAACAUUUUCCAGCGGAAUAUUAUUUUCAUUCAGUUCCUACACACAUAAUAAAGUUACCCAGUAUGUGAAGAAGAAAAUACAUUUUUCUCUUUCUCAUUGGCCAAAUGAGUCUGGAUAAGAUAAUGACCAUCGGAGACAACCAAAAUCUAUUUCUUCUUGAUCUUCAUUUAUAGGUACCCGCUUACUGUUAUAGUACCUACCUAUCUUGCAAAUCUGGGUUUAUCAAAGGUGGAUCAUUGACUCAAGCUAUUAUCAUCGUACACAUAAUCUUCAGGAAAGCACGCACCAGAAUCCAAUACCAUUCCUAAUGAUUAAGCAACUACCCCUUAAUGGAUGCACUCCUCACAAACACUAUUGAGUACCCCAGAAGGCAUACACUAGCAAACAGCCAUACAAAAGAUAAAAUUUUGGUUCUAGAAAUAAUAAUUCUUGACAAAAUGAAAACCUAAGACAAUUCAUUUUGCUUAGCAAGAAAAACAUGAAUAAAGGAAUGACAAGCAUGAAAUGUAAAUACCUUUAGGAAUAACUCUCCAGCCAACCGAGCUUGAUCCACUCCUUCUGAUGCUAAUUGAUACUCGCGACGCGUGCCAUUUUCCUAUUUUUGUUAAUCAAAACUAAGUAAACAACUUCAAAACAAAAAUGGGAUCAUUAAAAAGAAAUUAAACAAAAAAAAAGAAUUUUGUUAUCACGAUGAAUGUAUCAGACAUGAAACAAAACCAGACAAUGAUAACCUAAGAUUAAACUAAACCGAUAUGGCAUUACUCAUUUCCUCGUACAAUUUAAAAGCCAAAAACUUGAUUGCUCAUUACAUCACAUAAAUAUUUGUAUAGUAAUUUAUAAAUGAACGUGAGUAAUAAAUAUAAAAUAAAAUAAAGCAGAGUCUGAGUGAAGAGAAAAACCAACGAAGAAACUAUGAGUCCUUUCUCAUUCGGAAUGCUUUUGCCGUGCCUCAGAACCCAGUAUUUGUUGCGAAGAAAUGGGGUCGUCGCCAUGUUUGCUGCUGCUGUUUGUUUCUUCUCUGAUAGUGCAGUGUUGUUGAGUAUUCACUCCUUUAAGUACGAGUUCUGAUGAUGAUAUCUUGAUAUCCUCUUGAGGGAGGUUGGGCAGUUACUGUUAAGGCUGCGUUUGGGACAACAAAAAUAAAUGCAUAUUCAUUUUUCCUGUUUUUGAUUCUUUUCACGUAAUAUCAUAUUGGUCAUUCUAUUAAGUCACUAAAAUAAAUGCAUCAACAUUGUAAUUAAACAAAAGAGUGGGACCAUCGGCGCCCUUCCAAAUUUCUCUUAAUUUUUUUUAAAAUUAUUUUCUAAUUUUAACUUUUACUAAAAUUAUAAUUUUUACUUAAAACUCCACUAAAAAAUCAAGUAAUUUUUUCCUUAAAAAAACUAAUAUUUAAAAAAUAAAAAAGAUUGUAUUUUCCUUUAAUUUCGAGUGAGGAAUUUACUACUAGUAGCUUCAAUAGAAAGAAUAAAACUCGUUGUUUUUUUUUUAUGGAAGAAAUUUUGUUGUUGAAAUGGGGUUUAAUAAUAAAAAUUAGAUAAUGCAGUUUACACUGCACUGCUGAGUUUUAAUUAAGGGUAUUUAUGUCAUUGAUAGAGGUAUUAAAAGAACUUUAUAAUUUUUAAAAAUAUUUUGAUGGGGUUAAUAAACAAAAGGGGUGCUAAAAGAUACUUAGAGGGGUAGCAAUAGUCUCACUCUAAAUAUAAAGUAUGUAAACGAAAUAUAAAAUUUAUAAAUCAAGAUUAACUAUAAAAUAAAAUAUAAAUUUUUAAAAUAGAACAUAACCUUGUGAAUGAAAAUUAAACAUAUAAAUUAAUAUAAAGCUAGUAAAUUGAUGUAUUAAUGAUAAAGAAAACAAAAACCUUACAAAUAUAACGUAAAACUAGUAAAUCAACAUUGAUUAAAAAUUAAAACAUAAAUUUUGAAAAUAAAAUAUAAACUUGUAAAUAGAAGGUUAAAAAAAACUAAAUUAAUGGCAAACUAAUUAAUUUGAGGCUUCCCCAUUAAACAAAAUAAAAACUUACAAAUAUAACAUAAAACUAGUAAAUCAACAUUGAUUUUAAAAAUAAAACAUAAAUUUUAGAAAUAAAACAUAAGAGUUUUAAAUAAAAAGGUAAAAUAAAUAAGUUAAUACAAAACUGCUAAAUUGAUACAUUAUUGGUAAAUAAAAUAAAAACUUGUAAAUAUGACAUAAAACUAAUAAAUCACCAUUAAGGGCAAAAUGAUACAUAAAUUUUGAAAAUAGAAUAUAAGACUAGUAAAUAGAAGGUAAAAUAAGUAAACUGAUAUAAAAGUGGCAUGAAUAAAAACUUAUAAAUUUAAUAUAAAACUAGUAAAUCAACAUUGAAUGUAAAAAAAAAUAUAAACUUUGAAAAUGAAAUACAAGAUUUGUAAAUAAAAAAUAAAACAAGUAAAUCAAUAUAGAAGUGGUAAAUUGGUAUCUUACUAGUAAAUAAAACAAAAAAUUAUAAAUGUAAUAUAAAACUUAUAAAUCAAUAUUAAGUGUAAAAUUAAACAUAAAUUUUGUAGAUUAUACUUAAAAUAUACGAACAAAGGUAAAAUAAAUAAAAUAAUAUAAGAGUUACUGAAAAAAUUAAAAAAUACUUGCAAAUGAAAACUAAAUACUCAUUUAUAAUGUUAAUUACCUUAAAUGUUUCCUAAUUUUGUAUUUAAAUUGAAUAAUGUUGGUUUUGCGUUUAUAUAAUAUAUGUCAUGUUUCAUUAGAGAUGAAACUUAUUCUCAAAAUCGAAUUUUGGAAAAUUAUUAUUUUAAUAUUUUUUUAAAACUAUCGUAAGACGAGCUUAGUUUGCAUCUCUUUUACACUUUCUCAACAAUAGCCACAAAUGGCCUCCAAGUACAAUUAAGGAAUAAAAUUUGAAAAUACAUAAAAUAUGCAUAAAACUCAAAAUUAUGUAUGAUUUUAUUGAUAUAUCAUAUAUGUGUCUAGUAAUAUAAGAAUAUCUUUUUAUUUUAUUUUGGUUUGAUCCACAUCAAGAUAAAUAAUUUUGUUUAGUCAGCUUGUGUAAUAAAUAAAUACUAUUAUAGAAAAUGAUAAAAAGAAAUUUAUAAAUGUACUAGUACAAAUAUACAAUUUGUGGUUAAACUAAUUCAAUUAAUAGUCAUACCAUAGAAACUAUGGUAAUCUUUUUAAUAAUUAAUAGUUUGAAUUUCUUGUUUUACUUUCUAUUUACUAGUUUUAUUUGAAAACUUAUAAAAUUUAUAUUUAUCACAAUAUUCAUACUAUAAUUUUAAUCACGACAUUAUAAAAUUUUUCUAUUGUUGAUGCAGAAAUCUGGUUGAUAGAGUUGCGACUAAGUGUCCAUGCCAAUACUUAAAUUUGUUUGUUGGGAUAACAGCUUAGCGCUGCAACUUUUCUGGUCAAACAAUUAUCUUCAAUCACGAACUUGUUAAACUGGUUCACAUGCGCUCACAAUACUCAGUUAGAGGGCCACCAGAUGUUUUUCUAUUGAAAAGCCUCUGUUGCUCAAGUCAAUAAUCGGACCUUUUUUUAGAAAAACUUGUGUGACAAAUCACGUGGCUUAAUUACAACUACUUUAAAUUGGAAGGCUUAAUUUCAAUAAGAAAGAAAGAUAAAUGAGAAAAAAUUGUCGAUAGAAAGAAAGAGUAUCUGAGAAUCAAGCCAAAAGUUAUCCAACCCCCUCACCUUCGUUCUCCGAAGUUUUUAUAUCCAAUUGAAAUUAUCGGCCUCCUCUCUCCCAAUACCGUUACUGGGUCGGUUACAUAACCGUGGACGAGUGAGCAGUGCAAUUGCUCGUGAGUGGGCUUCGUGCCGGAAUUCUUUGGGGGAAACCCACGGGUUAACCUUUGACCAAGUUUUUUAUUUGACUUGAUUCUAGUCUCUCCUUGUGUGCCCUCGAGCUGAUUCUGUUCAUGUGACCAGCAGCCACAUGCCCCGUCGAAUGUAAUCUUCUUUGAGGAGCCAUUCUAGGUUCAGGGGAGCACAUUAUGCUCAUAUGUGCCUGAUCAUGACGAUUUUCACCCAAAACACCUAUUAUAUUGUAUUAUAUUAUAAUCUUUCUUCAUAAAAUGACAAAAAGAAUAAAUGUGACUUUAAAUAUAGUAUAUUUCGAAACCAGUCACUAGUACAGUUGUAUAUCAUUUCCCUUCCUCUUUUGUGUGGGUAGAGAUUCGAGUUUCUAAAAUGUACUGGUAAGAGUUGAUUUUAAAAGAGUAUGUUUUAAAAAUAAAUUUGACCAAUUCUAAUUUCUAAUCUUAUAUAUUCAUAUUGAACCGCAUAGAACUGAUCUAGGAAGUUUUAAAAUAUUUACAUUAUCAAAGUGUUGAUAAAAGAGACUUUGGUUGAUUUAAGUUAUCACAAAGCUGAUUUACGUAAAUUUUUAAUUUUUAAUUAUAAAUAUCAUCUAAUCAAUGAGAUCUCAAUAAUUUUUUUUUAUUUAAAAAAUAAGCUAACCUUUAAAAUUCUAAGUUUAAAUAUUUAGACUGUAAUAUCACAUUUGUAGUACAUUUAUAUCACCAUAGAGCUGAUCUAAAGAUUAUAAUAAAUUUUUAAUAGUAGCUAUCAAUAAAUAUAAGAGUUAUAAGUUUAGAUGUUUGGACUAUUUAAUUACAAAACUAAUGUAGGAGGUUUUAAGUCUAACACAAAAUUAAUCUAAAGAGUUAGCAUAGAUUUUUAUUUGUAAACAUUGAGUAGUUUAUGAAGUUCUAAUAGAUUUGCAACCGUAAAUUUCAACUAAUCUAACGAGAUUCAAAAAGAAUUUAUUUAAUCAAAAGUAAAAUUUAUUCAAUUUUUUAAGAAAAUAAUAAUAAUAGGUUUUCAGCCAAACAUGUCCUUCAUUUUGUUUUAUUAGCAUGUCCUUCAUUUUUAUUUUCCUCAUAAGCCCGAAAAGUGGAAGUAGAAAAUUAAUUUAAAAAAGAAAAUUUUUUAUUGGUUCACUUGCAUAAAUCUGACGUGUACUUCAAAUUAAUGACGUGACCGCCGGGUAAAAAUUAAAUAACUGCACGAAAAAUCACCGCUUAAAGAACCAUAAAUCUCCACCAUUUUCAACCUUUGUUUUUCCCAUUUUGCCCAUCUGCAUCUACUCGACCGCUUCUUCAAUUCCAUUUCACCAUCCUAAAGCCUUCAAUUUUACAAAAGCUUCAAACGCUUGGAGAAUAAAAAGCAACUGAACAAAAAUUUAGCAAAGUGUUUACAUCACCAUGGCUCUCAAUCUUCGCCAAAAACAAACUGGUACAUAUCUCUCUCUCUCUCGCUUUCAUUAGAUCUCUCUUUUAAUAAAACCCACUUUGUAUUAUUGAAUUGGAUUCGAUGUAUAAUUUCGUAUUAAGAAAAGAAAACCAUGUUAGAUUUUUUACUGAAUUCAUAUGUAUUGACUUAAUUCAGUGCAUUUUCUUUGGUGGGUUAAUUGUUUGCAUAGUGGUGUUAUUGAAUCUGAUCCGUAAAUUUGAUUCCUAUCCUAACAGAAUGCAUAACUCGAAUGCUGAAUCUAAACCAGCCUGUGAAUGCCACGGGGACAGCAAAUGAAGAGGUUUAUAAAAUCUUGAUCUAUGAUAGGUUUUGUCAGAAUAUUUUGUCACCCUUGAUCCAUGUUAAGGAUCUUCGAAAACAUGGGGUGACCCUUUAUUUCCUCAUUGAUAAAGAUCGUAAACCUGUUCACGACGUGCCUGCUGUGUACUUUGUUCAAGCAAGCCAGCAGAAUAUACAGAGAAUUAUAGCCGAUGCUUCUGCUUCGCUUUAUGAUAGUUUUCACUUGAACUUUUCAUCCUCAAUACCUCGUGCACUUCUUGAGGAUUUGGCAUCAGGGAUGUUGAAUUCGGAUUCGAUUCAGAGGAUCUCAAAGGUCCAUGAUCAGUAUUUGGAUUUUGUGACUUUAGAGGAUAAUUUGUUUUCGUUGGCACAGAAGAGUAGUUAUGUUCAAUUGAAUGAUCCAAAGGCAGGGGAUAGAGAGAUUGAGGAGAUUAUCGAGAGGAUUGUCAAUGGGUUGUUUUGUGUAUUGGCUACUCUUGGGGUGGUGCCAAUUAUAAGGUGUCCGCGCAGUGGUCCUGCAGAGAUGGUUGCUUCGGCGUUGGAUCAGAAGUUGAGGGAUCAUUUGUUGUCUAAGAACAACUUGUUUUCAGAAGGUGGGAAUUUUGCGAGCUCAUUUCAGCGUCCAAUUCUUUGUAUUUUCGAUAGGAAUUUUGAGCUUUCUGUUGGGAUACAGCAUGACUUUAGGUAUCGACCACUUGUGCAUGACGUGCUUGGAUUGAAGCUUAAUAGGUUGAGUGUGCAGGGAGAAAAGGGUGGUAUGAAGUCAUUUGAGUUAGAUAGUGCAGACCCAUUUUGGGUGGCAAAUGGGUGGUUGGAAUUUCCUGAAGUUGCAGUGGAGAUUGAGACCCAACUGAACAAGUAUAAAAAGGAUGUUGAGGAGGUGAAUAAAAGAACAGGAGGAAACGAUGGGGCUGAGUUUGAUGGGACUGACUUAAUUGGAAACACAAAGCAUUUGAUGAAUGCUGUGAACUCGCUACCUGAAUUGACUGAGAGGAAGCAGGUGAUUGAUAAGCACACAAACAUUGCAACUGUGCUGUUGGGUGAGAUAAAGGAAAGAUCUCUUGAUUCCUAUGCUAAAAAGGAAAAUGACAUGAUGAUCAGAGGAGGCAUUGAUCGAAGUGAACUAAUGGGUGUGCUUAAAGGGAAAGGCAGUAAGAUGGACAAAUUGCGGUUUGCAAUUAUAUAUCUGAUUUCUUCGGAAACCAUCAAUCAAUCAGAAGUGGAAGCAGUGGAAGCAGCUCUGAGGGAGUCUGAGGUUGAUAUUAGUGCAUUUCAGUAUGUGAAGAAGAUCAAGUCAUUGAAUGUCUCAUUGGCAUCAGCAAAUUCUGCAAGUAGAAAUAACAUAGUUGAUUGGGCCGAGAAACUAUAUGGGCAGUCAAUCAGUGCUGUGACAGCUGGUGUGAAGAAUUUAUUAUCUAAUGACAGGCAAUUGGCACUGACAAGGACAGUGGAAGCUUUGGUGGAGGGGAGGCCAAAUCCUGAAAUUGACUCGUACCUCAUGUUUGAUCCUCGUGCUCCCAAGUCAAGCUCCGGUAGCAACCAUCUGAAGGGACCAUUUAAAGAAGCUAUUGUGUUCAUGAUUGGUGGUGGCAACUACAUGGAAUAUGGCAGCUUGCAAGAGCUUGCGAAGCGUCAGCAGCCUGUGAAGCAUGUUAUAUACGGAACAACAGAAAUUCUCACAGGAGAUGAGUUUGUUGAGCAGCUUGCACUGUUGGGCCAGAAGAUGGGAUUGGGAAACACUGUUGCCCCAUCAACCCAUUAAAUACAGAUAUAUCAUAGAUGUUCUUUCUUGUAAGACUUUCAUUUGGUGAUUUUAUGCUUAUGAGGAGGCACACUGGGAAUUGAUGCCGAGGCAGGUUUUGGAGCUGAAUAUUUGUGAAGGAACGCUAUGGGGUUGGUGUGUGUGCUUGUUUAUUGGUUAUAUUGGCCCCUGAGUGUUUUAAGUGAGACUCAAAACAUACCGUUCUUUUGACAAUGUAGAAGAAUGUUUUUAGCUUAAUAGCAAUUAGGCAUCUUCUUUGAAGUAAGCUUCUGUUGUUGGAAUGUACCUGUUUCAUUUUGCACUGUAAUUGAAACCUUAACCUCAGAGAAUUAUUUUGUUAAUGCUAUCCACAUCAAUAUAUGAGUGUUGUUCAGUUUCACUUUCGCAUGGUAGUCGAUGUUGCUCUGCUGCUGCUGUGUUGCUUGGAAUUCGUAGGUAGUAAAAAGUUUAAUGAAUGCAUGGUCAUGGUGUGUUUUUGACUUUCUUAUACUUGGCUUUUCAACUUGUGAGCCGUGAUUGCUGGCAGGCCCGGCAUGAUGCAGAUGGUGCCUUUUUAGAUAUUUUACAAUUUCUUGCUGUUCUCAAAUAAAUGAAUAACAAUAAUAAUCCAAGUUUUUGUAAUAUGUAAUUAUGUAUCUGUCUCUUCAUAGAUUAAAAAACAUAAAUAAUAAUAAUAAUAAUAAUAAUAAUAAUAAUAAUAAUAAUAAUAAUAAUAAUAAUAAUAAUAGUCAAUGUUUUAAAAAUAACCUUCUAUUUUUCUAUUCUCUACACAUAAAGAACAGAAAAUACUUUUAUUAUUAUUAGUACUGGUUAGAUAAUAAAUUAAUAAAGAAAAUUUAUGUAUUAAAAUAUUAAAAAAUCAUCGGAAAGGCAUUUCUAUUUUCUCCCUAUCAAUCGAUUGAUUACCGGCGCGAUCACUCUCUUUCUUUCAUCUCUCUCUCUCUUCGUGGCAUACAAUUCCGUACACCAAGCAUGUCUCGCCGAUCCCUCCCUUUCCUGAAGUCCCUAAUCCAAACCCGAUCCGUAACCUACAUGCCCCGACCCGGCGACGGCUCUCCGAGAGCCGUGACCCUUAUCCCCGGCGACGGCAUCGGCCCGCUGGUGACCAACGCGGUAGAGCAAGUAAUGGAAGCGAUGCACGCGCCGAUCUACUUCGAGAAGUACGAAGUCCACGGCGACAUGAAGCGCGUGCCGCAACAAGUGUUGGACUCCAUAAGGAAGAACAAGGUCUGCUUGAAAGGCGGACUGAAAACUCCGGUCGGCGGCGGUGUCAGUUCGUUGAACGUUCAAUUGAGGAAAGAGCUUGACUUGUACGCUGCGCUGGUCAACUGCUUUAACUUGCCUGGGUUGCCGACACGUCAUCAAAAUGUUGAUAUUGUUGUGAUUAGGGAAAAUACAGAAGGUGAGUACUCAGGACUCGAGCACGAAGUCGUUCCCGGCGUUGUCGAGAGUCUUAAGGUAACUUGUAAUUUUAAUUUGUGUUCAUAGUGUUGAUCUUGUUUUAUUUUUUGUUUAUUAAUAUCAAUUAAUUUGAGGCUAUGUUCUUAAUUGUCAUAUACAAAAUUUAUCUAUCGUCCAUUCAUUUGUACUUAAGAGCUAGUGAUUAUGCUACCAAGUCGUUAGUCUGGUGGUUAAACACCCUUCGCCUGAUCUCAAAGGAAAGGAAUUUGUUAGCUAUUUUUGAGCUAUGCUCGAUGAUCCCACCAGCUAUUCUACAAUUGUUUUUAGACUCUCGAUAGACUCCUGAUAGCAAUGUCAAUGGAUAAAUAUAGUUUUUGUUUUUUAAAGCCAAAAAAAAAAAAAAAAAGCUUGUGAUUUCAUUCCACAACCACCAUAGCUCAUCAAUUCAAGACAUACCUUUAGUUUAGCUUGAGUCUAGUUUGAAUUGCUAGUCAUAUUUCUUGUGUUUGAUCAAAUUUGUUAGAGCUCUACUUUAGCUGGGAUAAUGAUAAUUGUAGUAAAUGGGAUUAGGGGGGAGACUUGGUUCAUUUUUUAUAUAUUUUAAUGCUUGUUUCUGUUUUUGCGCAGGUGAUAACAAAGUUCUGUUCAGAGCGCAUUGCAAAAUAUGCAUUUGAGUAUGCGUACUUAAACUACAGGAAAAAAGUAACUGCUGUGCACAAAGCAAACAUUAUGAAACUUGCGGAUGGGUUAUUCUUGGAAUCUUGCCGGGAGGUUGCUACUAAAUAUCCCAGUAUCAAGUACAAUGAGAUUAUUGUUGACAAUUGCUGCAUGCAACUUGUUUCAAAGCCUGAACAAUUUGAUGUCAUGGUAUGCAGCUUUCAAAUACUGAUUUAGUUUAAAACAGCCGUGCAUGUUUUUCCCAUAGCUGUGCAUGUUUAUGCCAUUGCAUCGUACUUGAGUAUCUAUUUCUAGGUUGUAGGCAUACAUAAUUUUGCUUACUGCAUUAUUAUUUUGUUUUAUAUGAAAUUGUAGAUCUCGUAGUAUUUUUGGUUGAUGUCAAUGUGACUAGUAUUUAAUGUGUAUAAUUAAUUUUGGCAACUUUUGGUGUAGUGACCCAAAAAAAAAAAAAAAUCUUUCUAGAAAUUUUGGCAACGUCACUUUGGUUCUAUUGAAUUGUGCUUUGUACAUUGUGAAAUCGUGUACUUUACUAUGUUGGGCUGAAUGUUUGAGCAUUGUUUGAUAUAUUUCAUGUUGCUGAUGAAAGUGUAGAAUUAUUGGCUAAGUUUUAUAUAGGGAGAUCUUAGAUCUCACUACAUUGGUUUUCAAUGUGAUUCCAGUUUCUGUCUGGUUCAUGAUUUUUUGUAAAUUCGGUACCAACUUUAUUAGCUUUCCCUCCUUGCUUAUGGAGCUUUCUUAAUGUUCUGUAGGUCACCCCUAAUCUGUACGGCAAUCUAGUCUCAAAUACAGCAGCUGGUAUUGCUGGAGGCACUGGUGUCAUGCCUGGAGGUAAAAAUCUCUGGUUUUCAGGUUUUAUUUCUUUUGAUGAGUUCUGAUAUUAAAAUAUAAUGAUGGUUAUAUGCUUAAGAAGGGAUGGUAAGGUUAAUUUAUGGUGUACUGCAUUGAAUGUUCUGGAAUUUUUUUUUCGUUGGUUAUGGGUGAAUUAAGUCUUAUCAAAAUUUCAAUGGCUUAACAGGUAAUGUGGGAGCUGAUACUGCUGUUUUUGAGCAAGGUGCAUCAGCAGGAAAUGUGGGAAAUGAGAAAGUAGUUGAACAAAAGAAAGCAAAUCCAGUGGCUUUGCUUCUUUCAUCAGCCAUGAUGCUAAGACAUUUGCAGUUCCCUUCAUUUGCUGAUCGACUAGAGACUGCAGUGAAACGCGUAAUAUCAGAGGAAAAGUACAGAACCAAAGAUCUCGGUGGAGGCUGCACCACUCAACAGAUUGUCGAUGCAGUCAUUGCUAAUCUGGAUUGAUUUGAUUCACUUGUAGCAUUCCUGUCAUAGUUCUGGCACGUGGACUUCAUUUGAGUUUCUCAUUCCUUACUCUUCGCCAUUUUUACAUGUUCUGAUUUUCUUGAAGCUUUUGGAAUCUCGUUUUUUGGCUAUCCGGCUGUGUUGCUUUUCCAUAGCGUUUAUCAUUUUUCAAAAAUUAUUUGAGUUUAUAGUCGUUAUUGACAAAUGAAUUGAUAAACAAAAAGUCUCCAAUUGUAAUGGUCAAAAUUCUUGGAUCUCUUUUUAGUCUUGGGGUCGGUUUGGAAAUAUUGUAAUUUUUAAAAUAAUUGCUGUUAACUGUGUUGUAAAAAUAAUCAGCUGCGAAGAGAAUCAAUUGAGUGUUUUUUAAAUUUUAUUUUUAAAAGUAUUGUGAGUUUUGAAAACAGUUAUGGACAUUUGGUAAAUUUUACUGUUAAAUUAUUGAGAGAAAAUAAAUGACUAAAAUGUACAUAAUGUAAGAUAAAAUUUAUUUAUAUAUAUAAAAACAUAUACAUAUAUUUUUAAUUGUGUAUUAUAAUAAUUUUUUCUAAAAAUAAAAUUUAUAAUAUAUUGAUUUUAUAUUUUUAUUUUUAAAAUAAUUGAUAAUUAAAUUAAUAAUAUAGUGAAAUAAAUUUAAUAAUAAUUUGAUCGAUAAAUUAAAAUUAAUAAAUUUAUAUUGAUGAAUUAUAAUAAAAAUUUAUUAAAACAUUGAUUUUGUUUCUAAUUUGAAUAAGGAUUAUUUUGGGUUUAGGUAAUAAUUUUAACGAUAUUUAAGGAAUUAUAUUAAAAGAUAAAAUUGAUUCUUAAAAUUAGAAUCUAAAAAUUACUUAUUUUCUUCUUUUUAAAAUCAGCUUUAGCAGGGGUUGAUUUUAACAAAAGUAAUUUUAAUUUUUUUUAUCAAAUACUAAAAUUAACUUUUAAAUUUUACAUAUCAAUUUUAAAUCUCCCAAAAACAAUCUCAAACAGGCCAUACACUCAUCUUUUUCAAACACAAGUGCAGGGCUUGGAUUUUUCAUCGACGUCAGGAUGAGAUGAGACCAAUUUUAUGUACAAUAUGCGUUUUUUAAAGAGUAAAACUACUUUAUAAAUUAUAAUGUAACACCCGUUACAAGUUUUCAAGUUUUACAUUCUUACAUGUUUGUGUCUAAAUAUAAAAUGGGUAUAUUAUGAAACUUAAGGAGUGUAUCGAUAAAUUUAUGACCAUUGUAAAUUUGUAAUACUGAUGCACGACGGUUUUAGUCAUCACUUCGUAAAAGAAGUAAUAUUGCGGUGGUGGGUGUUGCCGUUAAUUUCUUUCUUGUUAAUUAUGGAAUUAAAUAAUGGGACGAUAUAAAAAAUGAGAUAGAGAAUUUACAUGGUUCAUCAUGCGGCCUACAUCCACUCAUAUAGAAAAAAAGUAAUUUUUCAUUAUCGAAAAAAAAUUAUAAUGAAUAUUAAUUUUUUUUUUUUAAGUCCUUUGCUCAUAUCUCUAUAAACAUCAAGAGUUCUUUAUUUAUAAUACAAUCUAAGUAUCUUCAGUCUUUGAUAACUUCUUAGUAUGAUCAUCUGUAUCACUUAAUUUAAAGUUUUAUUUGAUGUCAAUGUCAAUCUUUAUCAGGAAUCAACAUUUAUCUCCAGCAUUUAUCUCAUUCAGGAGCUUUUAGGGUCCGUUUGGUACAACUUCUUGAGUAAAAGUUUUAGAAGUAGAGCUGUUGCAAUUAGAGAUUUUAUAAAUAAAGCUUUUGAUAAAAAGUUGUUGGGUGUUAGUUGUCAAUUAAAAAAGUUCUUUUGAGCCACUAGAUUGUUUGGUUCCACAAUAUUAAAAGUGUUUUUGUGGAGUCAAAUUACCAAAAAAGGAUAAGAGAACUUACUUUUAAAUUAUAAAUUUAGACAAAUCAUGAUAUUUCUUAUCUAAUAUCCCCACUUUACAUAAAAAUUUAAAAUAAACUUCAAUUAAAAUUUAAAUAAACCCCAUAAUUCAAACAUGAGGUAAUAAACUUUAUCAGUAAGCACCAAAACUAUCAAUUAAAAAGUUUAAAAUAAACUUUAAAAAUCAAAACAAAUCUUUACGAACAAUGAAAAUGUUAACGGUACAUAAGAAUAGUGGCAAUUUGAUCACGUUCUUAGCCCAUAAUACAUAUACUGAUUUGUGUGGACCACAUGACCAUGUGAAUACAUUAAACAAUAGUAAAAUAAAUUAAUAAACCUUAAAAGUAAUUGAAAAGUGGUUGUAAAGUGAAGAGAAUGAACAAUUUAGAUAAACAUAGCUAUAAAGAAAGCAUGAGAAAAAUCGUGCCUGCUGCUGCUUGCCAAAAAAUGGCGGCAAGUGGAGAAAUAUUUGUUGUGUAGGAUUUUGUAUAUACACUAUGACUUUUUGGAAUUAAAGAAAUAUUGUUAGGGUAUUUUUGGAAUUCUAUAUGUUUUACAAAAGCUCAAAAAGAUCUAUUUGUAGAAGUCCAAAUUUUGAGCUUCUCUAAGUAGAAGCAAAAUGGUCUUUUUAAAUCCCAAAAACUCUACUAAAAAUGCAACCAAAUAAUUCAAUAUUUUUUCAAUGAGUGACGCUAUUGGCACCCCUCUAUAUUUCUUAUGAAACUCCUCUUGUUCUUUAUUUACAAAUUUACCCUUUAUAUUUAAAUUAUAUAAAAAAAAAACUUAUCUAAUUAAACCCACCUAUGUUUUCUUAUUUUUUUCUCCAUUAUAAACUCAUUAAAUCUAUAAAUUUUGAAAAACAAUGAAUUGUCAUAGAAUAAGAAUUUAAUCUAAAUAUAAACAAAGUUUUUGUAGGAGAUAUAAUUUUGUGAAAUUUGUUUACUUAAGCCAAUUUUUUGUUUUAAAGAUUCGCACACAUGUCUUUAUGUAUAUACCAAAGAUAUUACCUACUAGGAAAAACAAAGACAAAUAGAUAUAAAAAUCAUAAAUUCAUGAAUGCUAUAAUCAAGAAGAGAUUAAAAGUGGUUUGGAAUAGGAGAAUGGUGAGAGAGAGCACCUAACAAUUUUUUUUUUUUUAAGUAUCGAUGCAGGGGUUUAUUAAGAAAGUAUAACAAAUGAGGGUUAUUUUAGGAAUUAAGAAGAGUAUGUAGAGAAAAAUGAUUUAAAAAGAAUGUUAGAGGUGUGUCAAUAGUCCAACUCUUUUUUCAAUAUUUUUAGGGUUUGAAAAAGCUCGUUUGGCUAGUAAUGGCUAGUAAAGAAGCCCAACCAAACAUACACAUAGACUCUUCUAUUGGGUUUAGAGAGCACUUCUAAUUAUUGGAUCCUAAAUGUUAGAUGCAACAACUGGGCUUAUUUAAUUAUACUCUCAUAUAAUUGCGCUCUCGUACAAUCGUGCUUAUUUGAUUCAUGUUCUCAUCGUGUUUAUUUGACUUAUUAAGUGCUAUCACGAUAUAGCUAAUAGUUAUGCUCUCACGCCGUUGUACUUAAUUGACUUAUUAGCUUUGCUUUCAUUCUUUCAUGUUCUCAUUCUUUCCUACUCUUAUGUACGAAGCUGUACUUAAUUGACUUAUUAAGAUUUCUACUGAGUUUACAUGUAACGCCCCAAAUUUAAUUGGGUUUUCAUGGAUAUUUUUCUUAUUGUAAUUAGAAUUUGAUUUGGUUUUAUUGUGCCAAGCCAUGAUUAUCACUCUUAAGUUAGCAAAAAAAAAAACAAACAAACAAAAGGAAAGUUAGGUCAAUAAUAUUUGAUACAUAUGUAUUCACAAGUUCCAAAAUCACCAUUCUUUUGGGUUCUUAGUAGUCAAGGCAAUGAAAGGAAAACAAAACAAAUGCUUGAAGAGGGAUAAGAGCAAAAGGGCUUGAGAAAGGGGGGGAAAAAGACCGAGAGAAGAAGUAAAAAAAGAAAAAGAAAGAAAAGGUUUUAAAAAAGGAGGAGGCAAUCGAUGAUGUCCUUUUUGGUAUGUAAGAGUUUCAUCUUCGAGUAUCUUGGACAUAAAUUUGAUGUUGGUAAAUAUUUUUACUCUCUUCGCUCAUGUUUUACAAGUUUUACUAAUUUUUACUGUUAUGGAUGAUGGUUUUUGUUGAUUAAGAAUGGCUUAAAGAAGAGAGAGGCUGUAAAUUGAUGAGUUUUUUUUAUGAUCAGUACUGAUUUUAGACAAAGAAUCGUGUGUCCUCAAUUAUUUUUAUCAUGAAUAAUAUACAUCUCAAGCUUUCUAUUGAAUUAUCAUGUGUUUCAAAAUUCUAAAUAUUGAAUUUAUCAUGAAUUUUUGAGUUUGGUACACUUUUCCUGGAAAAUUAUACUUUUCUUAAGUAGUUCCAAUUUGGAUAAUUUUUUGUUAGUAAUGGGCCAUUUGAAAUUUAUGAAACUAUUAUUAUGCAUUUAUUUAUUAUACGUUUAAUUUUAGAAUUUAAUAUGAGGUAAAUUAAUUAUGGAAAUUCAGUUAGUAUGGCUACUGCGAUUUAUGAAUAGUUUUUCUAGAAUUGAUAGGUCUAAAGUACGAUAUGUUUAAGCAUGUUUUUUUAUACUUAAAAUCAAGUGAAAUUUUUAUCAAAGGUUCCUUUGCAUGUCUAAUAUGUGCACAUUUAAUUUUAUGAUUUUUGGGCUCGUAUAAUAAAUGUUGUAGAUUUUGAAAUUGGCCUUAUGCAAUCUUGAAAAUUGUUUUUUAGAAUUGAAGUAUCACAUUAUGAAUCAGUCUUUAUUAUGUUUGGAAUUAUAAAUGUUCAUGAAAUUUUUAUCAAAGGUGACCACAAGUUUGAAAAUUUUUGAAUAAAUUUUUUAUACAUGAAAUGAAAAUUUAUUUUAAGCAUUUUUUUUUGUGAGAUAAGUCUCAUAUUUCGAUCUCUGAAUGUCUAUUAUGUUUCCUGACAUAAAUUAAAAUGGCAUAAUUUUUAGAGCUAUAUGUAAUAAUGUAAAUAGUAAUAAAAUUUCAAAUUGUUGCCAUGUAGUAUUAAAUAUUGAAAAGACAGUUUUGUUCAUCUUGAAAUAAAGUGAUUUUUUAAUAAAUUUAUGACACUUUCAAUUAUGAGGUGUUCGUGUGAAAUCCUACAUGUUUGAACAGAAUCUUUGCAAGGUCUUAGAUUUCUUGUAGUGACAUAUUAUUGGAUUAAUUUCAGAAUGUAUAGGGUGAUUGAAAUUUUAAUCAUUUAGUUAGUUUGGUAUUUUCAUAUCUAAGAAAGUUGAGAUAUUGAGAAACACUGAUAAGUUAGGAAUUGAUAAUGAUAAUGAUAUAAAUAUUAUUUCGAUGAUUAUAGGAGGCGGGUGAGCUCAUGUUAUGAUUGAAGUGUUUAUUGCUUUUUACAGAUUGAGAUAAGUGAAUUCAUGUAUAAUAUUUAUUAUAUACAUAUAUGUAAAUAUGUAUGAAAAGAAUAAUGUUGUUCAUACGGAUUGGAAUUACAUAUCGGUAAAAAGUUUAAUGAAAAUGUUUUCUUAAAUUUUUUUAAAAAUGACUUUAAAAUAUUUUCUUCCAUAAAUUGUUUUCCUUAAAAAUAUUUAUAAAAUUUUACCAAUUAAAUAUCUUGUAAGAGCAUUUUAUUAAUCUAUAUUAACUAAUUGAUAUUGAAAGAUUGAAAAUUGUAUUUAAGGUUUUGGUUCAUUGUCUGUAACUAUCGAUGCAGAUAUGACUGAACAGUUAGCUGUAUUGUGUGCACUUACUAACAUAUAUUGCAGGCUAUAAUACCCUGAUUGAAUAAUUGGCCAGAUCAUUGGGAUUACAUAUGAUAAUUUUUUUGCCAGGUUACCAGGAUUACAAGUGAUAUAUUGACUAGUGAGGCUACCGAAAGUACAGGUGAUACUAUGUGACAUGAGUAAUUAUUUUAAACAAAAUGAUUUAUCGAACAAAUUUUUAUAUGAUCAAAUGAUUUUUGGCUAGCAAUUGAAUGAAUGAAAGAUUUUACUAUUAAAUGAUUGUAUAUUGAUAAGGGAUUAUGUUAUGACUUAAGUUUUAUCGAAUUUAUGCAAUAUAUAGUAAAAUAGUUAUUGUUUUCUAAUUUUAUGGUUCUUUAUAAUGAUUAUUAUGUAAUUGUUUGUCUAUAUGUUUAUUUGUUUAAAUGAUUAAUGUAGGUGUUCAAUAUGAUAUCGUAUUAAUUUGUACUUGAUAGAUUAUUCCAAAUUGCUAAAAUAUUUUAAGGUCCGAAAAACCUUAAAUGCUCAUUGUUUAAAGUUCCAAGUCCUUCAAUAAAUAGUUAUGAUAUAAUAGAUAGAUAUAAGAUACUGUUAUGCAUUAGUUUACUUACCGAGUUGAUAACUCACCCCUCGUCUUUAACAUUUUGUUGAUUGAGUUUAUAGAUGGAUGUUUUCGUUGGAGACUUCGAUAUGUUGUUGUGCUAGGCUUUUUGAAUGAGUGAAAUUCCAUGUAGUCAUAAGUGAAAAUUUUCUGAAGUUUUGUCAUGGGUCGAAUGUCAGGGUCAAAUUAUGCUUUUUGUUAUUUAUUACUUUUGAGGUUUGAGCAUGAUUGCAUGGAAUGUUUUGUAACAUCUCGAUUCCCAAUGGCCUCGAGGAGCUAGCGUGUUACAUUGCAUGCUUUCAUGGUCUCAUACUCAUAUGUUCUCAUGCUCGCAUUAUUUGACUUGUCACAUUUCUCCUCACAACAAUGGGAAAAAGAAAAGUUUCAAGAAACAAGCUCACUCAAGAUUCUAAUUUCUAACAAUAUAAAAACACUUAUCCAACAAAAAAAAAAAAAAACAACUUUUGAAUUGCCAAAAAAAAAGCACUUUAAAUCUUUCAUUCAACUAUGCUACACAACCACAAUAAAUAUCAAAUAUGAUUGGAUAAGAUUGAAAUAUUUUAUGUCAAUUUAACAAAUUAUUAAAAACUGGCUUGCCAGAAGUGUGUAUGUGUGUACGUAUGUGUGCGCGUGCGUGUAGCAUUUCUAUAGUGAGGCCCACUUAACAAAGUGAGGAUACUAUUAAAAUACAAAAUAUAUGUAUAUAUAUACAUUUGAAUACAUAGGAGACCAUAUUUUUUUGUUUGUUGAUGACUUCCUCAUUUUAAUAGUAAGAAUAACAAUAAUGAUGAUAUUAUUAUUAUUAUUAUUAUAAUAAUAAUAAUAUCCGACACAUCUAUGAUUAUGCAUUGAUUGCUAUAAUAGAGAUACAGCCACUACAUAGAUGUUAGCUAGUCGCACAUUAAUGCAAGUACUAAAGUAGUUUAAAAGUGUCUAUUGGUAGAUUGAAAUUUGCUACAGCAACUUAUCUAUAGGAAUAGUUUUCAUGCAGUUAUAAAAAAAUUUUAAUUUCAAUAUAUGUAAGUUAUAAGUAAGAAUAAAUUUUCCAUUCUAAUAGGUUAUAAUUUUUUUAGAUUCCGCCUUAACAAACUUGCCUUUAUAUAGUAAUAAUUAUUUGAAUAUUGUAAAAAAAAACGUUGUGUUACAUUAAGAUGGAAUAAUAUAUUUUUCUAAAAUUGUUUAGAACAAUGGUUUAUUCUUCAGAUUUUUAAGAUUAUUUUGUAUAUUCCCGACAUUAAAUAAUUUUAUGCACUUUUUUUUUGAAGCUAUGUCUAUAUAUUUUAUUAAUAUUUAUAUACAUUGGAUUUGACAUGUAUGGUGACUAUCAAUCACAUCUAAUAACUCAAUCAAACAUAUAAUAUACAUGCACGUAAUCAUGACAUGAUAUCAAAUCAUAUUACCAAACAUAAAUGCUUCACGGAAUACAUAAUAGUAAUAAUAAUAUCCACUCAUAGAUCCUAUUUCACAUUGAGUUUAUUGGGGCUCUUGUGGGUUCUUCGAUUAUCGAGUUCCUCCUAAAAUACAAAAUUCAAAAAUUAACUAUUAAAACUGAUAUAAAAAAUUAUACAUAUCAUGUAAAUUGUAAUAUAAUUGCUCAGACUUCAUAAAUAUAUUACCUACUAAUUUAUUAUAUAUUAAUCUAACUGUCCAAUACUAUUUUCUGAAUUUUUCCUUUUAAUUUCUCUUUUUAACUUAUUUCUCUCUCUCGGUCUCCUAAUUCUUCUUCCCUUCUUUUUUUUUUUCAUUUUCCUUUCUUGUUCUCUUUUCCCCACUCUCGGGCCUCGGCUUCUCCAUCUUUUUUUUUUUUUUCUUUCUCUUCUCUGUUCUCCACUUUCUUAUUUCUCUUCCAUUUCCUUUAUUUGCUCUCGGUGCUCAAACUGAUAAAACGAGACAGCUGUCAAAAUUUGUAUGUAAACAUUAACACCGCCCCAAGCAAGCAAGUGGAACGUGCAUGUGGCAAGCAAGAGGUGAAGCCGGCAUGCGGAGAAGUGGUGAAGCAGGCAGCUCAUAUUGCAUGCAACAGAUAGUUGGCCAUUUAAUUUACUAAGCACGCGUGGCUUCUCUUUCCUUUUUUUCUUAUUUUUUCAAGCGGUGCGUGACACUCGUGCUCAUAGGUUCAUAGCUAGCUAGGAGUCAAUUCUGUUCUCCCCCUUCCAUUUUAUGUAUUCCAAAUUUUUUGUCACAAGUCCUAGUGUCAUAACAAUAUGAUUGAACCAACAAAGUGUUGGCUCCACUAGUAAUGGAGUCCCCUUAAGUGACUUGACUGGAUUUACUCCCCAGUUCGAGUCGCAGGAAAGUCGUUUUUGUUGGGAAAACUUGUACCUCCCAGUUCGAGCGGAGACUUCUAGUCUAAGUUGUGGUACGAACUUAAAGGUACCUCCCACAGUUGAGACCCUCGCCAAAAUACCUCGUGGUUAAGACAAAAAAAAAAAAAAAAACAAUAUGAUUGACAAACCCAUGCCACGCCUCAUCAUCCUCAGCAGCCCACAAGAAGGUAUACUGGAAUAAAACGUCAUUUUUCUUUCGGUGACUUUACCAAGAAGAAACUACAAAUCUGAGGCAAUGCCACCUCAAACGCCUCAUCAUCCUCAGCAGCCCACAAGAAGGUAUACUGGAAUAAAACGUCAUUUUUCUUUCGGUGACUUUACCAAGAAGAAACUACAAAUCUGAGGCAAUGCCACCUCAAACUCCACCCAGGCAACUUUUGUUCUCUUUACAUAUAAGCAGUUGCGGAAUACAAUGAAACUACAAAUUUGAGGAGGCUGGAAAAAAAAAAAUCUACAAAAUAAAGAGCCUAAACAUAAGUUCUAACAAUGCUAGAGAUUAAUGAUGGUGAUAUUUUUACUCCACAACCUUUGUAAACAUUGUCCGUUAUUAAGAAAUAAUUAUAAUAAUUUUACAUUAUUUUUAAAAAUACAAAUAAAGAAGAAGUUUGUAUAUUUAAUCAAAUAAAAUUACAUAUUUAAAAUCCUAAAUACAAGAGUUCAUAUUCUUUAGCGUAAUUUGUUCAUUUUAUAUUAUUAGAAUAAAACAAUCAAACAAAACUUUAUUUUAAAGCAAUCUCGAUAAAUAAAGAGAACUAAGUUUAAAAAUUAUAAGAAAGAUAUAAUUGAUUAAUUGUAAAAACUUUUUUGUUGACUUCUAUACAUUAAAUGUUUAGGGAAUGAAAUAGGGUGACCAAGAUAAAUGUGUUUGCUCAUACAUUAUCGUGCUCUCCUCAAAGUAAAAGUGAGCAAAUGGUUGAGUAGAUCAUCUCGACCAGGAUGUUGUUUGGUGACCUCGAGCACAUCACCUCGACCAAGAUGUUAUUUGUCACCUCGACCAGAAUAAUAUGUGGUGACCUCGAGCACAUCACCUCGACCAUAAUGUUAUGGGUCACCUCGACCAUAAUAAUAUGUGGUGACCUCGAGCACAUCACCUCGACCAGGAUGUUAUUGGUCGCCUCGACCAGGAUGUUAUUGGUCGCCUCGACUAGAAUAAUAUGUGGUGACCUCGAGCACAUCACCUCGACCAGGAUGUUAUGGGUCACCUCGACCAUAAUAAUAUGUAGUGACCUCGAGCACAAUAAUAUGUAGUGACCUCGAGCACAUCACCUCGACCAGGAUGUUAUUGGUCGCCUCGACCAGGAAGUUACCAGGAAGCACGAUUCAGUCAAAACAUUUUCUCCGAAAUAUUAGGGACCAUGUUCUUAGUGGGCUGAAAAUUAGUAGUUUUCUUGAGAAUUUUAGGGGAGAGGAUAAAAAUCGCUAUAGUUUCCUAUAAAAACCCUAGGAAGGGGAAAGAAAAGAUGAGGGGGGAUUCUCCUCUCUCUCUCUCUCUCUCUCUCUCUCUCUCUCUCUAGGCAAUUGAACCCAUUGGACCUUUUUCUCUCUCUACCACUAGGAAAUUUCUCUUUCGCUUAUGAUUUCUUUAAGAUUAAUUAUUCUCAAUUAUUUUCCUUUAAAUUUACUUAAAAGCUUUUUUGUUUAAAGCAAUCAUAAUUAAGCCACAUGAAUUGUGGUAUAGGUUUUUUCAAGUAAGACCCAAAUCGCUGACUUGAGCAUCGGAGAGUUCUCGCCGGAAAAACUUCCGGCGCCUCCUGACUGUUGGUUGUGCUCACAGGCUCACGGGUUAUUUGCUCAUGGAUCAUCUGCUCAUGGAUUGUCUGCUCAUGGGUUGUCUGCUCAUGGAUCAUCUGCUCAUAGAUUGUCUGCUCAUGGGUUGUCUGCUCAUGAAUCGUCUGCUCAUGGAUCGUUUGCUCAUGGAUCGUCUGCUCAUGAGUUGUCUGCUCAUGGAACAUCUGCUCAUAGAAAAUCUGCUCAUGGUGCUAACUAAUCAGCGGCUUCCCACCAAACAAAUUUAAUACUGAUGCGGGGAUAUGAGAUUUAACCAACUCAUCCGGAUUUCGGCAUCAACAUUAAAAACAAUGAAAACUUAUUAUAAUUAUUCUCUGAAAGUGAGAUGCAUUUACAAAAAUAGUGGGUUGAAAUUAUCCUCACCCAAAGUUCAAUUAGAAUCGUUCUCUUUUAUGGAAAUAUCCUCACCCACAGUUCAAUGCCAACAAGUAUUACUGGAGUAGAUUUUUCUAUGAUACAUCUCAAAUUGAGUUCUCCCUCACCAAGAUAGAUUUUUUUUUUCUUUUCUAGUAUUCAUCACCAUUGUGUAGAUCAAUACUUGUUCCACUAAAUUUCUCAUUUUAUUUAGAAAUAUCCCAUUAUAAUUUAAUAUUUUUAAAAUAAAAUAACUUAUUACUUCACUUAAUUUUAAAAAAAGAGAGAGAAAGAGAAUAUACACACUUAUUCCAAGUCCCCAACUCAUGCUGGCAGCCAUUAUUGAGAAGGAUCGAAAAGGUCACUUAUGGAUUGUAAAGUCUCAGGACUCCACUAAAGUCUCUGUUGCAAAACUUUACGUUAUCUAGAUAAGUCCCGCCCUUUCAGAAAUUCACCAUGUUCAAUGAACACAUUAUCCAAAUUUUUACGCAUUUCUAUACGAUUACAUUUGAAAUUAAGUACAGCAGUUUUUUUUUUUUUUUUUUUUUCAGCGCUUGAGUAAAGUCAGUCUUUCUCCCAGGCUGAGAGUUUGACGUCCCUCGAAUAUUUGAAAGGAUUACAAAUCUGAGCGGUGCCAUAUUAGCAUUAAUGUCAACAGGUCUCAGUAUAUAUAUAUGAUUGUACAUAUCAAUUAUACUCUCAUGUAAUAUGAGUUGUAAUUUGAGUAAUAGUCUCAUAUCAUCAAAAAAAAAAAAAAGUACAGCAGUUUUUUUUUUUUUUUUUUUAUUUGAGGGUCAUGUCAGUAGGAUUAGGAUAGGAUUAUUUUCCUUUUUACAAGUGAAAUAAUAAAUAAGUGUAACUGAUAUUACACCUCAACAUUUUGUUAUUAAAUGUUAAGAGUACAAGUGAAAUAAUCCAUCCACACUCAUAAAUAUUUAUAAUGUUGAAAUUUUAAAUCCAUGAAAAUUUGAACUCAUAUUACUACCACUCGACUCAAAUUUUACUUUUUAUGAAAGUUACAUAUGAAGAUGAGUAAUGAUACAUCCACAAAUUCUUGUACAAACUGAUGUGUCAUAAUAAAAUUAAUUGAAUUAAAUAUAUGUUGAUCCACAUAAUUUAUUUUUAUUAUUUUAUAUUUUCAUUCAAUCAAUAAAUUAAUACCACAUAAAUUCGUACAAAAAUUUGUGCCUCUAUCAUCACUCUAUGAAAAUAUUCCUUUUUUUUUUUUCCUUUCCUUUAUUUCCCCUAAAUCUAAGAGGAUGAUUUGAUAAUACCCAUUGUCCUUGAUAAGGUUCAAGCCCAGACAAAUAUUAACUGCAGGAAGACAAAAGGGAACAUCAAAACAGAUAUAAAAGGAAAUCUCAGGAUAGCAAACCCUGAUAAUAUAUUUGAUUUUUUUUCCUUUUACGGUAAUCUAAUGGACAGAAUGGUUUAACUCUGGUAAAUGGUUAACAAACAUCCAUAAAGUAUGCUAUGUAGGUGGAUAAAGAGAAAGAAGCAUCAAGCAAAUGCACUUGGUAGUUGUUAGCUGACAGCAAAAGGUGUAAUGGAGAAGAAACAAAUAGCCAUUGUCGGUGCUGGUGUCAGUGGUCUUCUUGCCUGUAAGUAUCUUCUGUCAAAAGGGUUUCAUCCUAUUGUUUUCGAAGCUCGAAGUGACAUUGGAGGAGCAUGGAUCAAAACUGUGGAGACUACAAUGCUACAAACUCCUAAACAACUGUAUCAGUUCUCAGAUUAUCCUUGGCCGGAUUCAGUCACUACAGAUUUUCCGGACCAUAAUCAGGUCUUGGAUUAUAUUCAAUCUUAUGCCAGUCACUUCGACUUGCGUAAGCACAUCAAAUUCAAUAGGAAGGUUGUUGGCAUUGAAUUUGAAGGCCUUUCUGGUGAAGAUGGGAAGUCAUGGAGCUUUUGGAAUGGCAAUGGUCAGCCCUUUGGCUCCCGAGGCAAAUGGACGGUUGCCGUAGAGGAUGCCAAGAACCACUCGACUGAGGUAUGUGCAAUUGGAGUGUGAAAAAAUGUGUCUAAUGUUUUGCUUAUGCCUUAUCUGUUGAUGCAAGGCAGGCAUAUUGGCUAGCCAGACACAUUUAGCCCUUGGAUAGUAUGGCCAUUUCUUGCAUCUUUCUAAUUUCAAGAUGUAAAUAAAAUAUGUGCAGGUUCAUCAAGUGGACUUUGUGAUUCUGUGUGUGGGGCGAUUCAGCGAUGUACCAAACAUUCCAGAGUUUCCUCCAAAGAAAGGACCAGAAGCAUUUCAUGGGAAGGUGAUACACUCCAUGGACUACAGCGACAUGGAUUACGAAGCCGCUGCCAACCUUGUCAAAGGGAAGAGAGUUACAGUUGUUGGGCUUCAGAAAUCCGCAUUGGACAUUGCAAUGGAGUGCACAACAGCGAAUGGUAGUUAAGAGAAGCCAAUUAGAUAAUCAUCUCUAUUUGCUCCAACUUAUUGAAUAAAUCUUUUGUUCUCUUUUUCAUUUGAUUACAGGUUUGGAAAAUCCAUGCACAGUCUUAUACAGGACGGAGCACUGGAACAUCCCCGAUUACUUUCCCUGGGGGUUUCCUCUAGCGUAUUUAUACCUGAACCGUUUCGCUGAGCUAUUGGUUCAUAAGCCUGGAGAAGGUUUCCUGCUAAGUCUCUUGGCAACAAUGCUUUCGCCGCUGGUAAUGUUUAUUCUAUUCAUUUUUUGACAUUUCAAGUGGGAAAACGAAUACUCUCCUAGAGGACUAAUUUGCUUUGUAUUCAAGUAACAGAGAUGGGCAAUUUCAAAAUUUGUUGAAGCUGAUAUUAAGAAGAAGCAUCGUUUGGCAAAGUUUGGGAUGGUGCCGAAACAUAGUUUCCUGCAAGAACUCAGUUCAUGUUUGACCAUAACAGUCCCGGAAAAGUUCUAUGACAAAGUUGAAGAGGGCAGCAUCAUUUUGAAGAAAUCUCAAGACUUCAGUUUCUGUGAAGACGGCAUAGUGGUUGACGGUCAAACUACACCUCUGAAGGCAGAUUUGGUCAUAUUGGCUACGGGCUUCAAGGGUGAUGUGAAGCUCAAAAACAUAUUUCUGUCCCAAACAUUUCAAGAUUACUUAGCAGGCUCCCCUACCGAAAAACUUCCACUCUACAGGUCAGCACAUAUUUAUAUAGAUACACACACAUAUCAAGAAUAAAGAAUUUAUGAACUACAAAUUCCUUUUUGCUGAAGAGAACUAGAAUUGUUGGUUCAUUGCUAGGUAACUUUUAAUAUUGUUUUGCACUUGAUCAGGGAAAUCAUUCAUCCCCAGAUUCCUCAACUAGCAAUAAUUGGAUUCUCAGAAAGUAUAUCAAACUUGUACACCUCAGAGAUGAGAUGUCGGUGGCUAGCUGAGCUUCUCGAUGGGGCGGUCAAACUACCUAGCAUAAAGGAGAUGGAGGAAGACAUGAGAAAAUGGGAUGAAUACAUGAAGCGAUACUCCGGCAAGUACUACCGGAGAUCAUGCAUUGGUGCCCUUCACAUUUGGUACAAUGAUCAAUUGUGCAAGGAUAUGGGAUGGAACCCCAAGAGAAAGAAGGGAUGGUUUGCUGAAUUGUUUGAGCCUUACGGACCAGUGGAUUAUGCUCCACCUUCAACAAGCAAUUAACUCCACUGAAGCUCUUUUAAAUUGUGUUUUUCAUCUCUAUUUUCCUGUACGUUGUGUUGUUUAAUUUCUUUCUAUCACAAUUCUAAGUAGUAGUGCUUCCAUCAUUUUAUAUUGUGAUGGAGAAUUGCUACAUGUACAAUAAUGGCAGCAAAAAUCCAAAAAAAAAAAAGCAUUGUACUGUUUAUUGCGUUCUUCAGUGCAGAUAUAGUUCUCACAAAUGCUUAACAAAUUAUCCUUUCUGUUAGCAAAUUGGCAAGCCAGAUAAACAAUUACUUAUCCACAUGCAUAUGCUGAUAUGUCGUCCACACUUUACACAACUCGUUGACAGUCGUUUUCGUAUAAACAAGAAUAUCGCGGAAAAAAAAAAAAAACCACACACACACACAUUAUUAGCUAAGGACUAAAAUGAGUAUAGUUCCUCAAAUAUCUGUCUGGGACAGAUAAGGGCACAUGGUCCUGAACUCUAUGUCCAUUUCAAAAACAGAUACUAAGCUGCAAUGGAGAAGAAGCAAAUAGCUAUUAUUGGAGCUGCAAUCAGUGGCCUUAUUGCAUGCAAAAACACUUUUUCAAAAGGGUUUCAUCCAAUUGUUUCUGAACCACAAUGCAGCAUUGAGGAGUAUGGACCAAAAUUUUAGAGUCUAAAAAGCUACAAACACCAAGACCAAUAUAUCAAUUCUCAGAUUUUCCUUGGCCAUCUUCGGUCACUGAAGAAUUUCCAAGCCAGAAUCAAGUUUUGGGUUUAUGUUCAAUCUUAUGCUUGCCAUUUUGACUUGUUUAAGCAGAUUGAGUACAAUAUCAAAGUUGUUGGAAUUGAAUUUGAAGGCCAUUCUGAUGAAGAGAUGCGGUCAUCUAAGCUAUGAAAUGGCAAUGGCAUGCCCUUUAGCUCUCAAGGGAAAUGAAAGGUUGUGAUAGAGGAUUUAAAGAACCAUUCAACAGAGGUAUUUCUAUCUCCCAUAUCAUUUAUAUUUCCCAUUUAAAUGUAAUGUCUUCAAGGUACACAUUAAAGAAACUUGUAGACGUUUAUAAUCUUAAAAAGAUAUGAAACUAUCGAAAUCAAUUGUAUAUAAUAUUGUGGGGGUACAAUCGAACUUUGAUACUAUUGCAGAAGAAUCUAUAUGAAGGUUAUGUUUUACACCAGCGUCAAAUUUUUAACAACACAUUGUUUUACAACAAUGAAAAACUUCUAUGAGAUGUCGUUUAGAAUCUCAUCUUCUUAAACGAUUGGUUGUCCAUGGUUUAUGCCAUUGUAAAAAUUUUAACUGAAUUACUUCUUGCGGUGAUAUUAUCAUAAACAGAAAGAUGAUUUUUAACAAAGCAAAAGCAAGUGAUAUUCAAAUGGCAGUGUACUAACUAGUUCAUUCAUGGCCUAGCAGAAAGAUGCAGUUUUACAAAAUGGACAUUGUAAUUCUCCGUCUGGGGAGAUUCAGUGAUGUUCCAAACGUCCCAGAAUUUCCUCCAAGCAAGGGUCCAGAAGAAUUUAAAGGAAAAGUGAUUCAUUCAAUGGACUAUGCUGUCAUGGAUUAUGAAAGUGUUGCCACGUUUGUCAAAGGGUAACAAGUCAUUGCUGUUGGGUUUCAGAAAUCUGCAUUGGAUAUUGCAAUGGAAUGCUCAGCAGCAAAUGGUAAAACAGGACGAUCUAGCUCAAAGCAUUAACAUAACAGAAAUGGUUUAUUUUCCAAUUCAAAGAAUUGAUCUCCAUUUUGAUUUGAUUCCAGGGAUGAAGAAACCAUGUACAGUUUUAAACAAAAAUGAACGCUAGAAUGUACCCAAUUACCUACCCCGCAGAGUGCCUUAAGCAUAUCUUUAACUGAACAGAUUCUCACAGCUUUUGCUUCAUAAGCUUGGAUGAGAAAUCCUACCAAGUCUCUCGGCAAUAAUCCUUUCUCCAUUGGUAGCAUUUUUUCUUAAUCCACUGGUAGCUAAAUUCAAAUUCUUUCUUUUACUUAUGCGGUCUAAUGUACUAACUAAAGCACCUAACUGCAGAGAUGGAUGUUCUCAACAUUUGUCCAAAAUCACAUUAAGAAGAAACAUAAGUUGGCAAGGUUCGGGAUGGUACCAAAUCACAGUUUCCUACAAGAAACCAGGCCGUGUUUGACCUAAACAAUGCCGGAAAGGUUUUAUGACAAAGUUGAAGAGGGCAGCAUCAUUUUGGAGAAGCUCAAGGCUUCAGCUUUUGUGAUAAGGGUAUUUUGAUUAAUGGUGUGUUUGACGCUCCUCUGAAGACAGAUUUGGUCAUACUGGCAAUAGGUUUUAGGGUUGACUUAAAAAUCAAAAACACUUUUAAGUAAAUUUUUUUUCAGAAUUACAUGGCAGGAUCCCCUAUUCAAACACUAACACUUCCACUCUACAGGUUAGCAGCAUAUCAUCAAAAAAUACGAAUUGUUGAUUUCAAGCUUCCUUGUAUUAACAUCAAUUUAUUUCAGCAACAAUCUAGGAUUCCAUAAUCAUAAUGUUUUUCAUAUUUGAAUUCAGGGAAGUUGUCCAUCCCCAAAUUCCUCAACCAGCUGUAACUGGAUAUUCAGAAGGUCUUUCAAACUUGUUUACCUCAGAGAUGAGAUGCCGGUGGCUAGCAGAGCUUCUCGAAAGAACAUUCAAACUUCCUGCCAAUAUAUAUAUACAUACAUACAUAUAUAUAUGAAGAUAUGGGAUGAAUACAUGAACUAAUAUUCCGGCAAAUACUACAGGAGAUCAUGCAUGGCCAGUCUUCACAUUUGGUACAAUGAUCAAUUAUGCAAAGACAUCGGAGUGAACCCAAAGAGAUAGAUGGGAUUAUUUGCUGAACUGUUAGAGCCUUAACGGGUUAUGUUCCAUCUGCCACAAAUUUCAUUUUCGCGUUUAUAUUGUGGAAUGUGAUCACUCUCCUAAUUUGAAGCAUUUCCCUUUCAACAAUCCUAAUUUGAAGCAUCUCUUUUAUAUGCCUUUCAUUAAUUGGGUUGUAAAAAUAAUGUUAACAGAUAUAAUUAAAUUCACACACAUAGCAAUAAUAUUAUUGUAUCCCAACUCACUAGGCAUAAGAUUAUUGUUUAUCAUUACAAAUAAGAUGAUUACUUUUUUUAAAAGUUUCAUUGCACUCCACCCCUAAAUUAAACGUAACCCACGAGCCCCCUACAGGCUACAACUGUUGAGCCAAUUGUGCAAUCGUUAAGGGAUAAAUAAAACAACCAUCGAUAAAUAGCUUUAAGUUAUGAAAGGAGAAUGUAGAAAGAUCAACAUAGAAAUGUAAUAAGCAGAACUAACAUAUAUGUGAUUAAAAAACUAUUAGCUAACAUAAGUCAAUAAACCUAACAUGUGGUUUCAAGUUUUGUACAGAAAUCUAUGACUACUAUGAAUUGAAUAUUGAAAAUUAUAUGAUUAGGCACCAAAAAGAAAUCAUCCAGUGCCGCAAAUUAUGAUUGGAAUGUCUCUCAGAGAUUAGGCCUUUCCAAAUUGUUGUGAUAUGAACUUCUGGAGAAAUUCUAGAAUAUAUCAAAGGUACUAUGUCAGCCAUAUAACAAGUAAAUGAUACUAUGACAUAUGUGUAUUUAUUUUGAAAAACUACCAUGCAAGUGGUGAUAAUAUUAAAUUCAAUUACACAUGUCAUACAUGCAGUGAUUGGUUGUAAUACCUUUAAUGUCUUAUAGAAUUCCUCCAACUUCUGGUAUCAAUUUGCCUGCUGAAAAAGAUGCGAGUUAAGUAGUUCCAGACUUCCAGAUCAAAACUAUUAAAACUGGAAAAGGAAAUAUAUAAGAAUCCUUCACCACCCAAACCCAUCACAAAAUGAAUGGAUAAGUAAAUGAAGAAAGAAUGGGAAAGAAUAGCAUUUUUCAUUUAUAGCAUCCUGAAUUAAUUAACAAGCGCAACAUUGAAACAUAAAACAAAGAUCAGAAGAAUAGAAAAACCUGAAUCACAAACAGAAUUAUCAUUAAUAUCCACCAACCUUGGCUCCCUCUAAGUCCGUGUGGAGGAACCACCACGGACCUGAUUUUGAUAAUAACCUGAAGAUAUGAAGAAAUCAUCAGGAAAAAUCAAAAUUAUAAAGCAAAGAAAAAUAUGCCUAGAUUGAAUCGGGAUAAGCAGACCAGCAACUUUUGGCAUGUAAAUAAAACCAAUUGUCAUUUAAGUGUCCAUUACCUGACAAAACCUGCCACUGUACGCAAACCCAUAAAGAGUGUCAAGCCUGCCCAAACCCCAGGAAGACCAGUAGCACGAGGAGCAUAUAACAAAAAUGUAGAUGACAUUGCUCCCACUAACAUCUACAUGUCACAAUACAAAUGUCAAACAAGAACACAGAGCAAUUUAACAACCAAAAAAGUACUCAUAUCAGAAUUUGAGUUUAUGAAGGUGAGGGUUACCAUAGAGCAAGCAGCAUAUCUAAAGUCUGAGACACCAUAAUGAAGGCCAUCAAAAAUGAAAGCUAAUGCAUUGAUAGGUUGACUUGCACUAACAAACUGCAAGAAAUUUAAAACAAAAUAAUUAAACCAAAAAAAAACGUAGCGGAACCCACAUCAUCUAAAAAACAUAAAGGUGAGAAGAACAAAAUAUUCAUACAUACCAAUACUCCAGUUCCAACAAUUCCCAACACUUUAGGAUCUUUGGUGAAUAAGGGUGCCAAAGAACCAAAAGAUAGCCCCAAAAUCGUAGCCAAUGAAACACCUGUGAGUACUCCUAUCUGAAAAAGAAAACAAGCAUCAAGUUCUAAAGUAAGCCUGCAUAUGGAACGUAGAAAUCCUGGAGAAAAAACCUGAAAAUUCUACCAAGGGUUUCUGGACAAGAAAACAAAACGGAGAUGUAUCCAGAAAAUGCUUACUUUUAACACAAAGUUGGUAAUUUCUCUAACGGUCUUGAAGUCCCCUUUAGAUACAUAACUAGCAAUCAAGGCCUACAAAAUGAAUAGUUUUUGGCGUCAACAUAAAAUUAUACAGAUAUAAUUUUCGACAACUAGCUCUUCUCAAUUAACUCAAAACUCAUAAACAAUCUACAAUGAUUACCUUUGGGGAAAUUAUCUUCACACCAUAUUUGUUUUGUCAUAUGUACCUCUAACCACUUCAAAAUUUUGACAUGUUCUUUGCACCACUUUUGUUUUUAAGUUUGUAUCAAGAAACUACUUUGACACUAAAAAAUGACCACUUUACCCCUUAGUGAAUUAAAAGACCAUUUUAUUCUACAAAAUUUUAAAAAAUAAAAAAAUUAUAAUUACAAGAAUACACUUGAAUUUAAUAAAAUAAAUAAAUCUCAAAUCUAAUUUGUCAGUUUUUUAUAAUUAUAAUUUCAUUUAAAAAUUAUCAUGUUAAUUUUUGUAAUUAUAAUUUUAUUUAAUUUAUAUAGGGAACUUUCUUAAGAUCAAUUAUAGGAAAGUUUACAAUAAUUAUAGGGAGCUUUUCUCUUCAUGUUAAUUUUUGUAAACUUCCCUAUACUUAAUUUAAUUACAAAAAUUAAAAUUGCAAGAGGUUAAUUUUUUAUAAUUAUAAUUUCAUUUAAAAAUUAUCAUAUUAGAUUUUCAGAUUUUUUUUUUUUUUGAAUUUAGGGGUCUUCUUGUAAUUAUAAUUAUUUUAUUUUUCAAAAUUUUUUAGAGUAGAAUAGUUUUUUGAUUCAUUUAGGAGUAAAAUAAUUACUUUUAGUGUCAAAGUGGUUGAUUAAUACAAAUUUAGAAAUGAAGGUGGUGCAAAAAACAUGUCAAAAUUUUGUGGUGGUUAGAUUUACAUAUGACAAAACAAAGGUAGUGCAGAUAUAAUGUGCCUUACCUUUUUCUUUGGUUAAUGUUGUCGAAUAGAAAUCAAAUAUGAAGAUAAAGAACUAAAAAGUUGAUAUAAAUAACGUAUUAAAAAAAAAAAAAGAUAUGAAUAAUGUUAAACCUUAAGUGGAACUGGUAUAAAGGAAAGAUGCAUACCUGACCAGAGGCAGCUAGUGCAUCAGUAAGAAGAGAUACAGCCAACCAAACUUGCAUGCAUAUCUGGUGCGCAGCCAUAGCGUCUGAACCUUGACGAGCAGCCAUUGAAGUCCCCAGCGUCAUUGUUAUUAAAACUGCAAGUGUUCUUCCUAGAAGAAAGCCACCUGUAGAAGCCCAUUAUCAUAAGAGAUUCAAAUCAACAACUGUUACAAUACCAAAGCUUUAUUUGUAUCCUGAAAUUGCUGGCAUUGAUUAAAAAAAAGUAGAGGAGUAAAAUUCUGAAAAAAAAAAGGCAAGAGUAAAAAUACCAGAUUUUACAUAAUCACCAAAUUGCAAUGCUCCCAUCUUCGGAGGCAUUAGUACAACUUUCUUGUUCAAAAACCAGAUCAUUGUAACAGCAACAAUGUACCUAGCAAAUGAAGUUUAGUUAUAAUUACAGUUAAGUAAAGGAAAUAAAACAAAAAGAACGCCACUGGAAAAGUACAUACUGAGACACAACAGUAGAGAUUGCCGCUCCAGGCAUACCCAGUUGACAGAAAUAUAUAAGUAUGGGAAACAAGAAUACAGCUAAUAAGUUGCCAAUACCUGCAUACGGAGUAACUACAUCAGUCAGAAGAGAAUUUUUAAAAAAUUAAUAAAACUAAAAGGUAAAUAAAAAAUCAAACAGUCAUAAUAGAGUAAUCAUCCUAGACAUAGGUAUUAAUUAAGUACAUGGCAUACAUAUCUGGCUUCUCUUUCAAAAUUGCCAGUUUUAAUCAGCAAUAAUCCCUUAACAACACCUGUGGACGUACAUAAUAUAUAUAAAUAAAAUUAUUCACUACAUCCUACAGCAUGAAGGUCAAUAAUGUUUGAAAAAUAAUCACAUCUAACAACUGCCCAGUGUUAACAAAAUAGAGUAUAGAGCUUAAAUGCACACUCAGAAGGUAGUACAUACAGAGCUUUCUCAUUCAUAAUUGACAAGCUUUAACAACAAGGUGAAUGAAGCAUGUCAAGCUUUCGAUCAUAUCAAAAUGAAAAGAAGCCACAUAGAUUUUAGUGGAAAUUUUUAGUGAUUAUAACUCAAAAUACAUGGAGAAUUCUGCCAUCAGUACUUUAUACAUCCCAAAGUAAAACCAAAUACUUGCCUAGACAUAAAACAGGGGUCUUUGUAUCUUUAAAACCACGGAAAAUGCCUUGAAGAGCUAAAGAAACAACAAACGCUGGAGAACCAAGGGCUCUUAGCAUGAGAAAUUUUUUUGCUGGACCAUGCAUCGCAGAUGCCUAUUAAAAAAUGAAGUCAAGGAGCAUAGACCAUAAGAUUAGUGAGUAAAGGUAUUAAAGAUCAGCCAAAAGAAAACCUUCCAAGCAUAAAUUUGGUAAUAAACCAAUAAAAAGCAAGAUCCAGAUACCGAAACAAAAACAUAAAACACAAAAACACUCACAGUGGAAACUGAGAGAAGCAUAGUUUACAAAAUAGGCCAUACAUGAAACUAGAGAUAUAAAACUUACUGAUGGUACGCCCAUCAAGUUAAGAAAUGGUCCAGAAGCCAAAGAUAAAGCUGCAGCCUCAAAGAUGCCAAUCCCAACUGCUAACAGCAAAGCCGUAGACACCGAGGAUAGUUGCUUUCUUUCAGUUGUCCCAUUUGGAGGUUUACCAUUGCCUUCUAGGCCUGCAUAACAACACAAGUCAGACAGAUGGAAUGUAAAAAAAGAAAUUGAAUCUUCCAAAUUUCAGCUUGAACCAUGAAUCUGGAAAUAAACGCAUAUUCAGGAAAAUCACCAAUUGUUCGUUUAUAUUCACCUGCAGCUAAAUCCUUGGUUAAAUUCUUUGCAAUAUCUUCAGCAACAAAAGAGGUAGCAACACUGAGGAGAGGAAUAUUAAAUAACUUAGAUACAAUAUUAAAGAUCGAUAUAGAAACACCGGCUGAAGCCAGCUCCACAGAACCUGUGGAAGCAAAAAGAGUUAUUAAUCCUUCAUUAGAUAACAAUCAUCAAAUUUACGAGCGUAAACCAAUAAAUUAUACAGUAAAUCAACACCAUGAUAAGAAAUUAUGAAUUAAAAAUCAAACCUACCUAAUCUCCCAACAUAAGCUGUCUCCAUUAGCUGUGCUAAGGGAUCAAUGACCUGCCCAGCGAUUGCAGGCAAAGUAAGCACUAUAAGUUCAUUUUUGGCAUCUUGAGUAUGUGAUUUACUGGCAACCUCAAUUUUCUCAACCAGAGUAUGUGAUUCACUGACAGUUACCCCUCUCAUUUCACUGCAAAUACUAGUAGAAAACCAUUUAGACAGAUCCAUAUCUGAAAAUCAAUCAUCUUUCUCAGUGCAAAUAAACAGGCUUAACUACCAUUUAGAAAUACAUCAAAUAGGCAAAGCAAGCAUCAUAAACCGACUUAACUACCAUUUAAAAAUACAUCAAAUGGGAAAAUAGGUAACUACAUUAUGUCAACAAGCAUAAAAUUAACACAAAUGCCUUACUAAAAUGCUAACUUAUAUAAACAAUCAAAUGAUGAGUUUGUGCUCUGACCUGUGCUCCUUAUUUGAAUUGGUGAAGCCAUUCUCUUCUCCCAAAACCAAUCUCGUCUCAGUGUCCAAAGAUUCCACACUACAAUCAGAAUUUAACUGAUCAUAAAUCACUGGAAAAUUGUGCUUUCUGCGACGAGUCAGCAAUGAUGACACACAAUUGCUAUGUUCCAAAGACAGGCGGCAGCUACUAUCAAAUGCUGCACAGCCGUCACCAAUUCGACUUUGUUGCAAUGAAAAACGCGAUGCAUUUGCUUUCGCAACUGUGUUCCACAGCCUAUUUCUACUUCCCACUCCACUGCAAAGUCUACCGCCACCAUUAAGCUGUGCAAUCGUCAUUGUCUAUAAUACAAUGUAUUGCUGCGGUAACAUGCGAAAGCGACACAUCAGAAUUCGAAAUAAUUUCGGCCCUUAAACGUCCACAAUCAUAUCAAUAAUACAGUCAAUUUAAGCAAAAAGAUUAUUUCUCACACGGUUUGAUACUUUUAGUGUCAAAGAUAUUAAAAAAAGAAAAAAAAAACUUAUUAAGUUCAUUUCUAGAAAGAAACUAAAACCCAAUGUUGACUAAAUUUUUUUUUUAAUACUAAGAACUAAUUUAAAGGACCAAAAAAAAAAAAAAACUGGACAAAAAGCAAACUUUGGAUCUGCUGGGUUAAGAAACCAAAACAGAGGAAAAACAUGAAGGAUCGUAACAAACAUCAAUGAUAAAAGAGCAGACACAAAGAGCCAACAACCACAAUUUUAUUACAUAGCAAAUAAAAUAUAAUAAAAAUUGGAUUUUUACCAGAAAGUGAGUGAGAAAAUAGGGUCUCUGUUUGCUUCUAACUUCUCGGGAAAAUAAGAACGACCCAGAAAGGAAAAUGAAAUUGAGAACCCGAAAUUGGCUGCAAUACGAGUAGUAAGGUGAAAAAAAAUUAUAAAAAAUAAUAAUGUUAUAUAAACGAUGAACACAAAGAUAUGCAUGUUACCUUUUACGUGGCGACCAAGUUAUAGACAAAAAAUGAAACAAGAGUUUUCUUUCACAAGAACAACGGAGUUGAAGUUAUAUAUGAGAAAGAGAUACUGCAACUCAACCAAAACGGAGAGAAGUUGGUUCAUUUUGUCAUGCCCCGUGGAGCUUAAGCGGCAUGCUUCGAUAUUGGUUAAAGCACUGCCCAAGUGGGCCACUUGGGUUCAAAACUAUGGGCUGCUGAAAUUUUAAAUACACCCACUACAAUUGGGCCUGAGGUUCCAACCCCGUUUGGUACCCAAAAUAAAAGCUCUCCCAGUAUUUGACAGAAAAACAAUAUAUUAUUUGUAUUAUAGAUUCUAUUUAAACAAUUGUACAACUUUCAAAUUAGGAUUGAUUCUAUUCUAUUUGCCAAUUGCUUUUAAAAGCGAGAACAACUUAAUCCUCAAAUCUCUUUUGGGCUAAACGUGUUUCACUAUUACUAAGUGCACCCAUAUAUCCUUUCGAUGUUAAAAAUUUUAAUCCCAUUCCUCGGGGUGUAAAUCCAAAUGGGUGAUUAUUAAUCAGUUCAAGGGUUACUUAGCUCAGUGGUGAUUAAAUUCUUCAACUAUUAAUAUAAAUGCACGCUUGUUUUGGAACAACUUAAUACCAUCGGCUCAGUUGUAUGCUAAAAGACAAAGACUUCUCACCAUUACUAAAGUUUUAUGUUUCUUUCAUGCAAAAUCAUAGUGAUAGCAAAAGAAAACAUUUGUCACAUUGCAUUGGAAACAACUGAUUUGACACAUUAUACGUGAUUCAUUGAAAAAAAAAAAAAAAAAAAAAAAAAAAAAAAAAAAAGAGAAAACGUUUCUUCGAAUCAAAUGGGGCGCAAAAUAGUUUUAUUAUCUACCAUUGAACCUUUGAGACAACUAUUUUUAAGUUGAAGGAGUUUAAUAUACAGCACUUGCAUAUGUUGAGCAUGAAAUGAUGCUCUACAUUACACUUCCGCUCCUAUUCUGGAUACAACAUUGAGAAAAACCACAGCAAGCUCAAGAUGCUACUGAAUAAGAUGAAAAUGGAGAAGGACCAAGAAAAUCGAGAUUAAAAGUAAGUUCCAACUCCCGAUCCUCGAAGCGUUAUUACUAGGACCUGUUUGUCAACAAUGGAAAAAACAUACGAGUUUAAAGUCAAUGAUAAAAUAUUUCAAUAGGCAAAAACUUCACAUGAUAGAUUACACAGUCAAUUGCACAAAUUGGCAACUAAAUGAAAGUUGAGGUUAAAAGGUACAGAGCUACGUGGCAUUGGUUCUCGGCCUUUUCAAGGAGAACUAGUGAUGGAAUAAUUUUGAACAUAUAGGAGCUUUUCAGUGGGUUCAUCGCACAAAAUAUUCCAUGCAAAAUCUAAAACCUUUGUUAAAUGAAAUGCCAAUGCACUUGCAAUGAGAGAAUGGUAUUCCAAUGCAAUGAGACAAUCAGAACAUAGAUUUGGAGGGCAUUUAGACAAAACAAUGGAUGUGAUGAUAAUUUAAACUUACUUGGGCAAGUGGAUAAAGAGUUCAGUGUUGUGAGGAUGGACAGGUUAUUAUAACCAGCAUAUUCGCAAGUUGUCCGAUUGCAAUUAUUUGAAGUGGUAGUAUUGCCAAUGGAUAAAGAUUCUGAAUCUCCACACAGCAUAGACGGGCAUGUUUUCCACCUGGAGUUGGGUGAUGAUGGUUGAAAUUGGGAAGGCUUGCAUUGUAAUCUGACCAAGCAAGAAAAGUUUACAGAAAAGAAAAUCCUUGAGAAAUCAUUAAUUAAAAGGCAAGAGAAAAUUUAAACAUAACGAGCUAUUAUGUAAAACACUUACGUCCAGUUGUUUGUGGCAUCACACUGGCACUUCACACAGCUGUUGGCAGUGAAUGUAUAAGUGCCAUUAGCAACACGUAAAUAGUUGUCGAAUGAGUCAGCUUUUAUCGAUGAGUUGCAAGCUGAAUAUAAGCAUUAAAACAUCAUCAGAUCACUAAGUUAUGGAAGAACACCCGUACAGAGACCAUAUGAGCCAUAAUACAUCCAUAUUCUGUCUAACUUGUAACCCGAAGCUUGAAUAUAUUGACUGCUUAACUCACAUUCUGUUUUUGCUAACUAGAAAUACUUGUUCUAGGAGGUCAUGUUUCACAGAAGGCACAGAAUUUAAGUCAGCCCUGGACAACUGAAGAGAGAGAACUGGAAACCAGGAGUGAAAAGAUAAAACAUCACCAGGAUUGGAGCUGAACAAAUAACCACCUAAUAUAAUUCAGAAAACAAGCACCCAACCUAGUAACAGUGACAACCUUUCCGCACUUUCCCUAAUCAAUUGGCGCAACAAUUUGAUGCAUUUCAGGCAUUCAGCCCAAAUUUAGACCAUACUGUAACCUAUUAAACAAGAUAGUCCUUAGCAAGCUACCAGUUGUAACUGGUUAAGACCGGCCUAUUGUAUUAAAAUUGCUCAUUAUAUGAAAACUUAAGGGUGUCGGCAAGCCAAGCUACAUAGGAGCAACAUGCAGCUUAAUAAUUUAGUGGGACAAGCUGUACAAUAACCGAUGUCAAAUGCUGCCGAGGACCCUCUAAAAUCGGUCAUUUAUGUUCCCAAAUAUAAAGAUAUCCAAAAGAUGCACAAGACUACCAGCGGUAAAGAUAUAAAAUAUCCAAAUAAUACCACCUUAUAUGUGCAAAAAUAUUAGUUCCAUAGGAACCAUUUUACUUGGAAUCACUUCCCUUUAAAGUACACAUUUCCAAAAGUAGAAAGUACUUGACAAUAUAACCUUAAAGGAAAAAAAAAAAACCUAAUAAACCAUUAAAAAAAUGCCCUCAGGUAUUUACAUUUUUCCAAAGAAAAAUAAAGAAAAUUAAUACAAAACAAAAGGCUGAAGAAGAGUACCUUUAAGAGGAACAUCAAGUGGUUCGCCGGCAAUAAGCUUACUAUCAUCAUGAAUGCCAUUAAGUUUCAUCAAAGUAUCUCUAUCGGUUCCAAACUUCUGAGCAAUUAACUCAAACGAGCUCCCCUCUUCCACCACAUGUGCAUAGUGAACCACCUUGGCAUUAUCAACAUCAUCACAGCUACAGGGCAAUGGAAUUGUCAAAUUUUGGCCAAUUUGGAUCAAAUCUGGGUUGCUAAUAUUAUUAGCCUCCACAAUUUUCUGGUACUUCAGCAAUUGUCCGAAAAUUGUUCUUGCUAUAAAGUCUAAGCCAUCAUCUUUCUUUACCGUGUACACUGGCACUUUGUCGGACACCCCUGUAAAAAUUGAAAAAAAAAAUUAAAAUAAAAUAAAAUGGUUUGGUUUUUGCUCAAAAAAUUAGCCAAACUCAAGAUCCAUUUCAGCAAAAUUAAAAAAAAAAAAAAAAAAAAGAUUCCUAUGAUUUUUCACUAAAUUUGGAAAGAUACAAUUUUGAAAAAAAAAAUUAUUAGAAGCAGUUAAUGUAUAUUACAAACUUAUAAUGAUAGAAAUGCUUUACUGGAAACCAAGUUGGAAGAAGUAAAUUCAUAAUACUUAAAAUCUUUAUAAAAAAUUGUGAAAUAGGGUCGCUAAGUUCUUCAUUAACGAUCACAAAUUUACCGUUACAUUUGUCAUAUCAUUAUUUUGCAUUGAACAUUGUAAAUCAAGACAUGAAGUUCGCGAAUGCAUCGAACAACAGUUGAAAAAUGUAACACAUAAAUGCUAGUUAGUUUAAUUAGUAAAAUCUCCUAAGAUUAGUACAAAAUGUUAUGAGUUUGAACACGUUAACGCGGUAGAAAAGCAAUUGAGUUUUCAUGUAUGAACAAAAUCUGCAAAGGUUUCAGCAUAAUAUGAACAUAAGAUAGUUUUGUCCUCCUAUAAUAUAAUAAUGGGUAGUCAAUUAAAAUACAGAUGACAUGUCAAUGUCAUGUAUAAAAGCGUCCACGUAAAAUGUGAGCUGGAAACGGAAGAGAUGAUAGAAACAAGUCGAGCCGUCAUGCCAGACUGUCAGUAGUCAUGUGAAAUUAAAUUAAAAUUAAAAUUAAAAGAUUUAUCAAUUUCUUUUUUUUGGUUUUUUUUUGGGGGAGGAGGGGGGGUGUCAUCUGAGGAGAGAGAGAGAGGAAAGAGGAAAGCACCAGUGCCGUUAGAGCAGAUGCAGUGGAUGGGGACUUUGAUGGGCUUCUGGGCUGGUACAGAGAAGUUGCGAGGGGUGCCGGGUGGGAAAUUAUUGGCGCCGAGGAUGCUGCGCAGGUUCUUGACGGUGAACAGUGAUUGAAUCUCCGAAAUGGUAGUUUUGUUGGGCGGCAGGUACCCUACUAGAGCUUGGCAUCUUGCUGCUGUCUGGGUGCUACACUUGAAGUCUUGCGCUGUUGAUAGUGUGCUCAGUGCUGCACAGACGGUGAAGAGGAGUAACACCAGUUUCAGCUGAAAAUUACCCAUCUUGUUAACUUUUCUUUGUGAAGUUGUGAGUAGUUUCUUGUUAUAUAUGCACUGGUAAUGGGGCUGUCCUCUGCUGUCUUGCUCUUCCUCUUGUGCUGAGGAGGAGAGGAGACUUUUGAAGUUGGAAGUCUGAAGUUUGAACAGCCUUGGCUUUGGUUUGUUGAUUCGCAUCACAUGGGUGGUCUUCAGUCUUCUCUUUUCUUUUGUGUAGUGUGAGCGUGAGGACUUACUUUCUGUUUUGCCUUGUCCUUCCCACGGGGGUCAUUUCUUCAAGAGUUGGUGGCAAUCACACGGUUUUUAUAGUACAUUAAUUCAUUUACCUUAGAAUGAGCAACAUAUAUAUAUAUAUAUAUAUAUAUAUAUAUAUAUAUAUAUAUAUAUAUAUAUAUAUAUAUAUAGAGUAAUGAUACAGUCACAAACUCUUGUACAAAUUUAUUUUGUACAAACUGACGUGACAUUAAUUCAUUGGUUGAAUGAAAAUAUAAAUUAAUAAAAACAAAUCAUGUGGGCCAAGUGAUAUUUAAUUUAACCAAUCUUAUCAUGACACAUCAGUUUGUACAAAAUAAAUUUGUACAAGAAUUUGUGGCUGUAUCAUUACUCAUAUAUAUAUAUAUAUAUAUAUAUACAUAUAAAAUCCAACGGACAUGCUCAAAUAUAGUUUAUCAUUUAGUUGAUCUCUACCAAAGUUAUUAAGGUGUACCAAAUGUAGACGCUAGUGGGUGUAUGAACUAAACUCGUCUGCUUGUGUCAAAAAUUGGUUCCCACAAAGAAUAUGCUGACUUUUAGUCAUCCUAUGUUAAUACCGGUAUUUGUAUAUCCCAAUUUUACCCAAGAAAAUAAUUUAAUAUACAGACAUAUAUAUACAUAUAUACAUAUGAAAAAAAACAAGUAUGUGCUAUUGUGCUUUCUCGUGUUGUGGAUAAAGAUAUUAUAAUAAGGGGCUUUGUGUGAAUGUGACCAGACUGAAAUCAUUGGAGAAUUGUAUUUGAGUCCAUCCAUCAUGGUAUCAUUUUAAUACGUAAUGCGCCAAACAUGACCAAUAAUUUUUAUACAACCCAACAAAUAUUACACUUAAAAAUUUUCAUAUUUUAUUAUAUAUUCAAUUUUUUUUUCAUCACAUCUAGGACAUACUGUUGGCAAUGAAGUUAGAGAGAUAAAAUUGAAGGCUUGGAGCCAUUUCAAUAGACAGACCUAAAAGCUGUAUACCAUUUAACUUAUUUGCUUUGGCGUAGAGCAUUUGAACACUUAACGAUAACUUUUUCUCGUUUGGCUUGGAAAAAAGUAUUGCCCCGUUCAAGUGGGCAAGUCAUUAUCGCUUGGCCGAGUCAAUGGUUUAUUUAAUUCAUAGAAGCAAUGUGGAGAUGCUCCAGUCUAUGGUCUUACACCAUUUAAAUUUCAAUACAUUAAAAAAUUUGGCAAUCAAUUUGACAAUGACGGAUCCCAAAAGUCAUCCAAACCAUUAUUUUCUUCUCAAAUCUCAAAACUCAAAAAGAAAUUUCAUAUGACUUGCAUCCACUUACCCUUCUAACAUUAAGUACUGAGAACCAGGAUCUAGUAGUAUGCAUGAGCAGGAUUCAAAACUUGAAAAUAAAACAACUGGAGUAUGUCAAUUGACAUGAAGAGAAAGCAAAUGCGAAUUUGACUUUGUCCUUAAAAGUCAAGCCAUGAUGAACUAGUCAAAAUUCAUACCAUGUUCUAAGCAUAAAUAAACGUCGACUUGAAGAACUAUUCUGAAAGGGAUUAUGCAUAUGAACAAGCAAAAAGUUCUAACAAAAUUGGAAGUAGGCCCAUCCAGCCUAAGCUUUAUCAUUAUCAAAAACUGCACUUAAUUAAAGGAAAUCAAGAGCAUAACCAUGAUUCUGUACUUGGUUAAAUAUAACAAACAAUAAUAACACCAAAAACAUGUGUCACUUCUCAUCCAGGCGCCGAAGCACUGAUUCAGCAAAGCUUUGUUGCCUGCAAGUACAAAAUGCUUAUGAACAAGCAAAAAGUUCUAACAAAAUUGGAAGUAGGCCCAUCAAACCUAAGCUUUAUCAUUAUCAAAAACUGCAUUUAAUUAAAGGAAAUCAAGAGCAUAACCAUGAUUAUGUACUUGAUUCUGUACUUGGUUAAAUAUAACAAACAAUAAUAACACCAAAAACACGUAUCACUUCUCAUCCAGGCGCCGAAGCACUGAUUCAGCAAAGCUUUGUUGCCUGCAAGUACAAAAUGACCAAUGAGCUUAAAGAGACCUAUUUUAUCAGUAUUAGAAACCAGUUCAGCAAGCAAAAAUAUAAAAAUGGGGUUGGUUUAUAAGCAAUUUAAUUCAUAGUCAAGAUGGGAAGUAGAAAGUGAUUUCAGGCAUCCUGAAUAUGUGCCAGAGCAAGUCAGAUCCACAGAUUUAUAACAAAACUUCUACGUUCUAUGUGGUCGAAUAGAGGAAAGUAAGCAAUGGUGGAUUUAACCAAUCACUACUAACAAAGACAAAAUAAAAUAAAUAAUAAGGCUCCGACAAAAUUUAGGUUUUGUUUACACCAGGAACAAUAGGAAGGAAAUUAAAGGUAUUUGAC
Molecule: long non-coding RNA, 67202 nt
Filed under: Citrus x clementina
Lineage: Eukaryota; Viridiplantae; Streptophyta; Magnoliopsida; Sapindales; Rutaceae
Description: Citrus clementina (C. clementina) long non-coding RNA (CCLE_LNC000708)
Source: RNAcentral